This 75507-nucleotide long non-coding RNA is filed under the name Capsicum annuum. Its description in RNAcentral is "long non-coding RNA (CANN_LNC013643)". Lineage: Eukaryota; Viridiplantae; Streptophyta; Magnoliopsida; Solanales; Solanaceae. The record is from RNAcentral.
GAACGAAAAAGUUUAAUUUACACAUGUUUCUUAGUUUCUAAAACUAAAACUAAAAAGUCAAAAAUGGUGGCCUUCUAACCUACCCUACUCUAAAGUCAUAAAUGUAAGUAAGAAAAGUAAGAAAAACAAUUAUUGAUUUACAUUAUUGUACCGUAAGAAAAUAAGUCAAAAUAUCUUCCGUUGUUGUAUCUGCUCCAUUAUUGUUCUUUAUCUGCUCCAUUAUUGCUCUUUAUCUGCUCCAUUAUUGCUCUUUAUCUUAUCUUUCCAGCUGGCAUUUUGUCUUCUUUAUUCUAGACGUACCUCUGGAAUAAUAUUAUCUUCUCCAUUGCACCUCGAACAUUGGUGGUCUGGAUAUUUAUGUCCAAUUAUCUUACAGUAUCUCGUUAAUAAUCCGUCUGAAAUAAUUCCCUUUUUUAUUGCUCGUGCGGUAGAUUGUUUUUCUGGGUUGAGUAGUGUCAAUAUCCACUGUCUUACAUCUUCCAUAUCUGCUUGUCUUAGUUCUUUCGAAUUUGAAUAUAUCAUUUGGUGGUCUCUUGAAUAGUAGCUCCAUAUUGGAUUUCCGUUAGCGUAGUUAUUUGCUAGUUCUUGUAUGAUCGUAGCUAGUCCAAUAAGUCUUUUAUUUGCGUAAAAAUCUGGUAUCUCUAUUCUAGGUAUCUCCGGUUGUCGCGAUAUAUCUUCCGGUAUAAUCAUGUCUCUUGUCAGUCCUAUCUUUACAACUUGUAUCACUGGUUUUAUCUCAUCAUAUAAUAUCUCUGCUGGUGCAGUAUAACAUUUUAUAUAAAAUAAAGUUCCUUUUGUUAUUCUUUUAUAGGUAGUAAAUAUCUUGUAUAAUUCCUCCAUAGCUGUUAACUCUUCUCCGUCUUGGGUGUAUAUGGUAUUUAGUAGUCCAUAGUCAAAACAAGUUUUAACUAGGCUUGGGUUAGUUUUGGGUAGUGCUAUCAGUUUGUUGUAUCCUUGUAAUUUUUGGGUUAUAUAAUUGGUAUUUGGUUCUUUGAUAUCUGUAGCUCUGGGGUUGUGGUUUAGAAAAGUUUGUACUCUGUAUAUAUUUUCUAUGUAUUUUUGGGCUGUGUAGUUGUAUAUUUUCUUGUCUUGGUUUAGGCUGUCUCGGUAUGUAUUAACUUGUGGGGGUAUGAAUAAAUGGUCUUUUUGUGUUUUAGGGGUAAAUGGUUUUUCGAAUAUUUUAUUCAUAUUUGCAUUUUGGUAUCUUGGCUUAUUAACUCCUUUGCUUGUACCUGCAGAAGUAGAUUGAUAAAUGUUAUGGGUUUUAUGGAGUGUCCCAACGUCUCCUUCUAUCUCUGCUAAUUUUGGAAUAUAUUCUCUUACUUGGUUUACUAAUCCUAAAAAUGAUUGUAAUUUCUUUUUUGUAUCUAAUUCUUCUUUCGAAUUUAUUAUUUUUUGUACUAUAUGUUGUUGCAUUUUUACUCCACUUUUAUCUAUUUGUAUUCCUAAAAAUUCUAUCUGGUUUUUCAUAAUUUCAGCUUUCUUUUUGCUUAGACUUAUUCCUGAUUUUUCUAUUAUAUCUGUGAACUGUUCUAAUAAUUUUAAAUGUUCUUCUUUAGUUUUUGUAUAUAAUAAUAUAUCAUCUAUGUAUACUAUACAAUUAGAUAAUUGUUUAAAAUAAUUAUCCAUAAAAUGUUGAUAUCUACCUGGUGCAUUUUUAUAUCCAAAGGGUAACACGUUCCAUUCAUAAAAUCCUUGUGGUACCGUAAAUGCGGUUAAUUCUUUAGAUUCUUCUUCUAGCUUUAGGUGGUAAAAUCCUGAUUUACAAUCAAAUUUGCUAAAAUAAUUAUAUCCUUGGAUUUGUCUUAUUUUUAAUAUCUUAUUUGGUAUCGGAUAAUUAUAUGUUAUAGUUUUUGCAUUUAAAUUUCUAUAAUCAAUAACCAUCCUACUUUUUCCUCUUUUUUGUUCACUAUGUUUAUUUACUAUAAAUGCUGGACUAUUAUGUUUACUAUUACUUUUUUGUAUAUAUUGUUUUUCUAAUAAUUCAUCUAUGUGCAUUUUAAAUUCUUUUAAAUCAUCAAAAUUAUAUGUUAAUGGUUUUUGUGUUAUUAUGCUAUUCUUAUCUAUUAAUUCAAUUUUUAUAGUAGUUUUGUGUUUUUCCCAUCCUUUUAAUGGAUCUUCACUAUAUAAUUGUUCUAAUUUUUUCUGAAUUAUUUCUAUUUUAUUUAUUGAAAAUAUAGUUAUUUCUGUUUUAUUUAUCGAAAAUACUACUAGUUCUACUGUAUCUUCAGUAUUUUUUAUAUUUUCUAACUUUUGUGUAAUUUUUUCACUUCCUUUUAUCCAAUCAGUUUUCUUUCUUAUUUUAUUAUUAACUCUUUUUGCUCUUACUUUUUGUUUGCAUGGUGUUGUAAACCACCAGUCUGUUUUGGUUAUUAUAUGUGGGUAUAAUUUAUCUAAAAAUGGCAUUCCUAAAAGUAUAUCUUUUGAUGUUAAUUCAUAAUUAUAAAUUUCUUCUAUUGUUAAUAUCUUAUCCCAUACUUGUAUUUUUACAUUCCUAGCUUUAUAAGUAAUUAAGCUUCCUUCAUUAUUAAAUCCUUUAACUAUUAUUGGUGUUUUUAGUUUAUCCCAUUUGCUUUCUGGUAAGCAAUUAUAUCUACAUAAAUUAGCUUCUGCUCCUGUAUCUAUCAUAGGCGUAUAAUAUCUACUGUAAUAUCCUUCUACUACUAUCUUCAUUAAUACAUGUAUCUUCAUUUCAUGUUAAGGCUCUUUUUAAGAAUAACUUUUCUUGGUUAUAUGUUAAGGUUAAUUGUGUAUGUUCUAUAUUAUAUGGUUUUACUUGUUCCAACCAUUUUAUUCCUAAUAUUAUAUCUGCUUUUUGCAUUUCUUCUUUUACUUCGAAUUCUAUUUUUAUUUUUCUAACUCCUAAUAUUAUUUCUUUUUCUGCUAGAUUUUUAUUAUUUAUUAAACUUCUUGGUAAGUCUGGGCAUAUAUUAUUGUCGGUUUUUAUUUCUUCAUUUUUUACUAGAUAUUUUGCUAUAUAAUUUUCUUCUUGUCCUGUAUUCAAAAGUAUUAAAUAUUCUUUUUCAUUUAUUUUUCCUGUUAUGUAAUAUUGGUUUAAAUUACUUAUUGAGUUUGUUUCAUAACUUGUUCUUUUUGAUGAGCUUGAUGAUUCUGGCUUUUCAUUAGCUAUUCUUUUCGUUGUACUUAUUCUAUCAUUUACUAUUUCUAAAUUUUCUUCUGUAUCUAUGUCUCUAUAGGUAUAAUCAUUAUAAUCUAUUGUUUUUACUAUUUGUUCGAAUGGGCUUUCUAUUUGUAUUUUGUUAAUCUUAUUUUUUCCUGUUAUUUUAUGUUUUGUUGUUAAUACAUAUAGAUUUUUACAUCUUGCUGUAAAUAUUUUACUUCCUGGGGUUAAUUCUAUUCCUGAUAUUUUCCAAUAUAAUACUAAUGAUUUAUCUAUAUUCCUAUCUGUUACUGCUACUGAAUAAUUUGCACUUAUUAUAAAUUUAAAUUUUUGGUAUAUUAGAUUUCCUUUUACGGCAGUUAUUAUGCUUUUUUCUAUAGGUUUUAUAAUUCUAUCGUCUGCUAAAUAUAAUUCUAUUGGUGUAUCUAUUCCUUCUCUAAAACAUGCUUUUAUUAAUAUCUCUGUACCUCCAAGGUGUACAUAUUUUAUUGGAUCUCCUUUACUUUUUAUAUCAUUUAUUUCUUUAUUAAUUAUUCUUUUUGUUACCAGUGGUAUACUAGCUUUUCCUUUUGCAUAUCUGCAAUCUAUUACAUGUUCUUUUUGGCAUACUACAUAAUAUUCAUCUUUUUUCCUAGUAAAAAUAUUUUUUAUUGUUGGUAUUUUAAAUAUUUUGUCUACACUUAAAUCUAAUUCUUUUCCUUUUAUUUCAUCAAAUAUAUUACUGUCAAAUAUUAUUUUUUGUUCCGUUCCUUCAUCAUUUAAAUAUUCUUCCUUUGUUAUUAUUUUUAUAUCUUCUUCAGUCAUUUGAUUCAUCUAUUUCGCUAUCUAUUUCAUUAUCUGUUUCGUUUUCUGAAAUUUCAUAUAUACUAUCUUCACUUUCUAAUUCAUAAUCUAUAUAAUCUAUCUGCAUGUAUUCGGUAUUUUCUAUUUUUAUUUCUGAUAUUUGUUUAUUUUUUGGAUUUUUAGGUAAUUUACAAUCUCUAGCUAAAUGUCCUAACUUUCCACAAUUAUAACAAGUACAUUCUUUUAUAGAUUUCUUUUUUCUAUAUGGUCUUUUAUGUUUAUAAUUUUUUACAUAGUAUCUUUUUCUUGGUUUUUUAUAUUUAUAUUUUGAUUUUUUAUAUUUCUUAUAUUUCUUAUGUCUUUUUCUUUUCUUAUAAUAUCUUUCUUCGCAUCCAAAUUGGGGUGCUAUUUUAUUUUUGCAACAAGCUAAAUUUCUUAUUAAUGUUUUUUCCAUUUUUAAUUCUUCUCUAUAUUUUUCACAUAAGUUUCUAUACCAUUGUUGUAAAUAUUUUAUUCUUGCUCCUAACGUAUCUACUAUUUUUGCUUCUUCCCAACUUUUUAUUAUUUUCGAACUAAAUGGCUCGGGUAAUUUAUUAAAAUAUAAUUUUCUUAUUUCUUUACUUUCUUCUAUACUAUAUGCUCCUUUGUAAUAAUAUUCUUUAAAUGCGCAAGUAUAUUCAUCUAUAUAACACAUAUUACAUAUUGCUAAUUUUAACAUUAAAUUUCUAUUUGUAUCUUUUUCUUCAUUUUGUUCUUCUUCGAUUGUUGUCGUACUACCAAAUUCAUCUUUUAUAGCUGUUUCAUAUUUUUUUAAUAAUUCUAUAGGUGUUAGUUUAGUUGUUGUCGAUGAUGUUCCUUCUAUAGGUUUAUUAGUUCUUAAUACUUUUUUGCUAUUUUCGGUUAGAUUUGCAAACCAUAGUUUUACUGAUCCUAUUAGUGUUUUUUCUAUAUAUUCCGGUGCAUCUGUUAUAUUUAUAUUAUUAUCUAAUAAUUGUUUUGUCAUAUAUCCUAUCCAUAAUUGUAUUGUUUUUUCUGUAUCUAUUACACAGUCUAGAUCUAAAAAGUUAUAAUUUUUAUUCACUAUUUGUUUUGGUAUCCAUUUAUCAUAUUCAUUAUAUUUUUUAAACUUAUUCUUAUAAUAUAUAGGUUUUCUUAUUUCUGUUGUUUUAGGUAUUAUAUUUUCAUUUUCUUUUUUAUCAAGAGUAUUUAUUUCUGUGUGGGUAUUUUCUAAGUUUUCCUCAUAAAUUUUUUGUUCUUCAUUGAUUUCUAAAUUUUUUGUAUUUGUUAAUAUUUCUGUGUAUGUUUCACUAUCUUCGGACUCAUAAUUAUCUGUCUCUUCAAUAUCUAUAUUAUUUAUUUCUAAUUCUUCAUUUUUUAUUUCUAAUUUUUCCUUAAAUUGAUUUAUCUCAUUUAGUAAUUUCUGUUCUCUAUCUUUUUCUUCUUUUUCUUUUUGUCUUUGUUCAUACAGUUCUUUUAACAUUUGUAAUUCUUUUUCUAAUUCAGCAAUUCUACUAUUUUUGGUUUCUUCUAUUUUUCGUAUUUCUUCCGUAGUUUGUUGUUUUAUUUUUUCUAUUUCUUUUUUCCUAUCUAUCUCUUCAUUUUCUUUUUCUAUUCUUACCAUUGCUGUUAAUUUAUCUUCUAAUUUUAAUUCUUCUUUUUCUAACAUUAGAUAUAAAUGUUCACCUAUUUUCUUAUAUCUUCGUCCUAGAUUAGAAAAUACUAUUUUUAUUUUUGAUCCUUCGUAGUUUUCAUAUAUUUUUUCAUCUAUUAUAAAUUCUUCUUUAUUCAUUUUAUUGUGAAUAGGUCAUGUUGAUAUACAUAUUCUAAACUAUCUAUUUGUGAUUCUAAUUUUGAUAUUUCAUCUUUUUGUGUAUCUAUUGAAUUUUUACUAACUCCGGCAAAUAUAUUAUAAUGUAGUCUUUCUAUUCUUAUUUUUAAUUCUUUACGUUUUUCAGAGAUAAUUUGUUUUAAUUCUUUAUAUCGUUGUAUUUUAUUCAUUUUAAAUUAUAUUUAUAAUAUCUCGGUGGAUAUCUAAAUCUAAUUUUAUCAUAAUUAGGUGGUAUAUGUUUCAUUCUUCUAGAUUUUAAAUGUGUUAUUAAUUUUGAUUCAAUACUAGAUAUUAAUGUAAUUAAGUAGGCUAGUUUUUGUGGAUUUUCUUUUGUUUUAUUUAGACUUAUAUAUUCUGAAUAAUUACUAAUUAAAGAUUCUUUAAUUUUUCUAAAAGCUUCUCUAUUUUUAAAUGGUCUUCGCAUAAUUAAUUAAUUAUAAGUAAAUUGUUUUAACUCUAAAUCUAAUUUUGACUCUAUCAUGUAUAUUCUAACUCUAAUAUAUAUAUCUCUUCUGUAUUAUUUAAAUUGCUGUGCUCUGAUACCAUUUAUAGGGGGUGUGCGGAUUUAAUAGGUAUAAUAGAUUCAGUAGGUUGGGCGGCUACAAGAUGUUAUUGAACUUUCUUUGUGUUGAUUAGCCGACAUUAUUGUUUGAUAUUAUAGUUUGGUAUCUACAAGUAAUUUCCUAAAUGAUAAUCAGACGAAUUCAGAAUACAGAGUCGACAAGUUUAGUAAUAAAUUGAGUUGAACUUCAACAUGUUGGAAAUUCUCUUACGAUCAGUAGCAGUUGAACUUCAACUUGUUGGAAAUUCUCUUACGAUCAGUAGCAGAGGUAGAAGCCUGAAUGAGUUCAUCUUAACCCAGUAGCAUUUGCUCUAAUAACGUAUCAAUGUUAAGAACUCAUUAACUAGUACACAUAUUAAAUUUAAAGCUCAAUUAUUGACACUUCAAGUUAUUAUUCUAAAAUCUAAAACUUAUAAAGUUGAUAUCCUGAUUUUGCCUCUAUUCUUGAUAAUCAUAAUAACUUGUCAAUAUGAUUUUUCGGCGGGAAAAUAACUAUAACUGAAGAUCUUAAAUACAUUAAUAAGCAGCAAAACUUAAGUUUGCUAACAAAAGAAAUAUGAAUCUUUAACAUGAGUAGCAACAGGCAAUUAAGAUCCUCUUUUUUAUUUGACUAAAGAAUGCUUCUCACGCAAAAUCUUGAAAAUUCGAGUUUCAAUUUGUUUGAGAAUUAGAUCUAGAGAUGCUCAACAUUCAACAUCCCAUUUUAUAAAAAGAAGAAAGAGUCGAGAUUUAAAUUUUAUGUAAUUAUAAUUUUAGUUCUUUUAAGUAAUUUGGUUUCUAAAUUAAUAAUUUGUUAAUAAAAUUUUAAAAUUGUUAUAAAAUUUAAACCUAAUUAUAUUACUAAAACCCUGAGUAUAGAGAUAUUCCUAUUAGGAAUGCCACCUCGGAAUGAGGCCUGUAGUAUGCAAAUCGAAUUAGUCGAGGUAGCAAUAUGAGUGAGUAGGAAACAAAAAAAGGAAGCGUAUAGUAAUUAGUUCAGUAAUUAGUUCUAGAGAUUUUCUGAAUUUGAAAGUGUGAGACAACUUGGUUCUAAGUGCAUCGGCUAGUGUGUAAUUACUGUAUUGUAGUAGUCACAAAACGUGUGCUAAGGUUUGAGAAACUUCCAAUACACUAGCUAGCAAGAGUAGGAAAAUGAAAGGGGAAGGAGGAGAAAAAAUGGAUUUAACCUAUAUAUAGCAACACUAAAAGAAAAUUUUAUAUUAUUAACGUGUUAUUCUUGAAUUUUUAACAAUUCAUUCAUUUUGAAAUUUAUACUAUAAAAAGUGCCAAUAUUAAAAAGGAGGCUUAUUAGAAGUUAGAACUACUCUUAUUUUAAGUCUACUAGUUUCUCGAUAUGUGCGUGGCACAUGCAUAUCAUGUCAGUAUAUGAAUUUGCAAAAUAAUACCAAUAUUAUUUUUAAAAUUGAGUAAAUAAUUAUAGAUAAAAGAAUAAAGAAUAAAUUUCUAUGUCUAAUCAAUGCUAAAUCAUUGUGAUGUAUGGAGACAAGUUUCCUUAGUAGAACAACAAAUAUCUUUCGCAGCAUAAUAAUUCGGUGCUUAUGUACUCUUAUUAAAUGACAAAUAUUCUAUAUAAUUGUAAUUUUUCAAUACUCUUGCCUAUUCUAUUUCUUUUUGGGUAUUUAAAACUGCAUGUCUUCCUUUGGUCGUUCAUUUCUUCUCAAAGUGUACAUUUCACCGCAUCUUUCAUAUUUUAUUGAUCUUCACCUUAAAGAUGUGUAAUAUUUAUAUCAAAUUUAAACACAAUAUCAUAUGGUGGUUUAAAAAAUUUAAAUUUUCUACACAAUCAUAUGAACAACUUCAUAACUAACAAAAAUUGUAGAUCAAAUUCAAUUGUAUUGCAGCAUAAGCAAUCAACACAAACUACUGUAAAUCAUGAUAAUUUAUAUGAAAUAUCAGUAUCUCAUUUUCAAAGUCGAACAAACAAAAUGCAUUUCUUCUUAAAUUUUUUUAAAAACUUGGAAACAUAUUAAAUUUAGUUUAUAUUAUUAUUUAAAAAGCAUAUGUGUUUUGACCAAUAAAUUUGGCAAUAGUAUGACUUUAAUAACUCAAAAUUAUUUACAAAUUCAACAAUCCUGAGCUUUUUGAAAAAGGUAGUCAAAUUCCCAGAGGCGACAACAAUUGUUGACUAAUUCUAUUUUUGUAAUUUUAAAAUAACAUUAUAAUUUUUUACAUUUAAAUAGAGCAGCCAGAUAAUAGAUGUCACAUAAAGUAAGUAAUGCUACUCUUGUCAUUCUUACUAUUUGGUCGCACCAAAAAGAUAAGCAUAAAUAAAUUUAAAGUAUUUUAUGGCCUUCUAGUACCCCUUCCCGGUUAUCUUAUUUCUUCUUUUUUGUACACUUACUACUGAUUUUAGAUAUUUCUCCAAAAUGUGGGGACAAAAAGAAAAUUAAAUUAAAGCGAACUUGAGAAAUUUGGUAUAUAUGUACAGCUAAUACAUCUAUAGAAUGAAGAUGAUUAAAGAUAAUCCUUUAAGCAUUUUGUAUGCAACUUGUAAGUCUUAUCCCAUUGCAAAUGGCGUACAUAGGAAAAUAAAAGUUUGUCAAUACCAUUUUGAAGAUAUGUUAGCUUUCUUAUUCCAUCACUUGGAUGAUAUUUCUAAAUUGAAGUUCACAUAUUCAAUAGUAUAUAUUGAAUAUUGUCCUUUAUAGCAAGAAUAUAAUCUUUAUAAAUUUUUAAAUUACAUGAAAAUAUAGUAAUAGUUGACAUAAAUAUAAGGUCAUUAACUAAAGACUCCUUGAUUGCUUAAUUUUCAUGUAGGCAAAUUCGAUUUUUGGUAUAAGUCUAAUUAUGGUAUGUAUUUUACUAUUGGUCCAAGUAUAACAAGGAAAAGGAAGAAGUUGGCUAUGUGUCCUUUGUACUCAAGGAAAGAAAUCCCUUGAGUCAUUUUCUUACCUUAAUAGGACAACUCUUGAGCAUCUAUAUGAAACAAAAUUCUGACAUAUCUAUUGCAUACAUAGAGAAGACAUCAUUCUCAACAAUAGGAGAUCAUUACUAAUUCAUUCAAGCUAUUCAUUGAAGGCAGUUUUUAGUUGUGCUGUGUAUAUAGUAAGUGUUUUGAGUUUUACUCUGAAGUCAUUUGAGAGUCUAGUUAUUUUGUUAUAGCUUGAGUUGUUGUGAUAAUUAUGGAGUUUGUGUUGGUGAGGUUUUGUAACAAGAAGCAGGUUUGGCUUCUUUGAGUAUUGAUAGUUGAAACAGUUAUGGUUAUCUCUUUGAGUCUAGAUCUUUAAAGUAGGAUCUUAAUUAUUGUGUUGUAUAGCAGCAUGUCCUUCGCUGAAGGCAUGGUAACUUUUAGAUACUUGACAAUACCUGUAGCUAAAAAUAUUGAGAAUGCCAAAAUCACUUAUAAUUUUGUUGAACGGUAACUUAUCUUUGUAGACCCUCCAAGCCAAAAGAGAGAUCUUAAAUGGAUUCAUUUGUGUCAUAGCUUGCUGAGAAUAUUAUUGAUAUGAUUUUUUGAGGAAAGAAAAACCAUUCUGUUUGAUUCAUGAUGGCAUAGUCAUCAAUAUUUUGGAGACCAAUAUUAGUGUUCAAUAUGUGUUGAAUAGUCUGCUUAUAUAGGACACUACUCAGCAUCCCGAUUCCAUUGACCCAUGUUAUGAACUCUUUCACUCUGUUAUGUGCCUAAUUCAACUUGAAUUAGGAGGAAAGAUAGAAAGAAGUCCUCUUUCUGUUCAGUUGUCCCACAAAAAACACUGGUCAUUCCUGAUGCCAUUUGAAGUUAAAUGUAAUGGAACCAUAAUACAACAAAAAACAAGGUCCUAGUGUUUAAUAUUUUCUCUCAGCAAAAUCUUUCCAAGUGAAAUUACUAUGUCAAUUUAGUCCUUACCUGAAAAAAAUAGAAAUAACAAACCAUAAAUGUGAUUCUACAAAUCCAACGUAUUGGUUGAAAGAAAAAUGUAGAACACCAAGGUACGGGACAAGAGUAACAUAAGCUGCAGAACUGGUCCAUGGCCUGACAAACUCAAUGGUCACUGUUUGAAUUGUUAGACUAAGUUCUAGUUAUGGUUACACAUUAAACUCCAUGGUUAAGCAUACUUUGACUAUUAUCUAGGUAUUAUCUAGGAGUAAAUGUAUGCAAAGAGUAAUCAUGAGUAGAGACCAUGAAAAUUAAAUAAUCAAAAUAUUGAUAGGGACACAGGUGAUUGGGAGUUCAGAUUAACUUGAAAUUUGAACUUGUUACAAUGAAAGAGGUUGCAUGGUAGUAAUUAUGUCAGCUUUGUUAAUGAAACUGAUUGAUGACUCUAGAACCUUCAAAAUAGUGGUUUAAGAAAAGUAGAAAAUAGUGUUCUGUACGGCAUUCUUCAAAAGAGAUAGAGUUGGUAAGGCAAGAGGAUGCAUUUAGGGUUUAUAAAAUGCUUAGAAAAUCUAAUAAUAAGUUAAAAGUAGAACAAUAAUUGUAAAGUGAGUUGGCGAUGUAAUGUUACUGAAGAUUAUGGAAAAUUAUGGAUGUUUAAUAUAAUAGGCUGAUCUAUCAUAGAAAAUUAGAGAAAAUGUAAGCAUACAAGCGUGCCAUUGAAAGAUAUAAUUCUACGAAACAAUUUCAACAUACAAAUCACUUUGUUUUUGUCCUGAGGUAAUGUUGAUGGCAACUCUAGAAAAAUUAAAGAUUGAUUCCAGACAGGUUUCUUGAGCAUUUUUGUAACGCCCAAAAUCUGUAUUCGAAAUGCUACACGGUGCUCAUCACCCCGAAAGACUACAAGCUAACCCAUGACUGAUAUCUGUAAUUGAGUACUGAAUAAUAUACUGUAAAUAUGUGGAAUAUAAGUUUUAAGGCCAUACGGUUCAAAGCUGAACUAAUACUGACUAUAGAACAAUGUUUGUAAUGGGGUAUAACAAUACCCAAAACUGAAAUAAAACUGUCUGAAAACAUAUUGUAGUCUGAAAACACUCUAGUCUGAAAGCCUCUAAAAUGUUUGAAAACUGUGGAGCUGAUGGGACAUGUCCCCAACUAACUCUGAACUGCUGAAAUAAUAGAGUAAUAAAAUUAUCAUGUUAUCCUCGACUGAUGAGGACUCAUUACUAGUCUGGCUGCUGAACAUCUGAUGUACUAAGGAUGCUCGAGAGCUCGUGCUUCUAAACCUAUCGUAUAAAACACUAGAGCGCAAAUGCGUCAAUACUUUGAAUAUACUGGUAUGUAAGUGAGGUAGGCUGAAUGCAAAGGGUUCGUUCAUAUGCAUGAACAAUACUAACUAGCUAAACAACAUGAACGUAAGAAUACAUGCAUGAAUACGUAACUGUAACUAAGAUCAUGAUAACGCUGAUUCAUGAAUUCUGAUAACAUGGAUUUACUGAUAUCUGAUUACUAAUACUGGGAUACUAAAUGACUUAGUCUACUAAAUACUGAGAGACUGAUGUUAUUUUACUAAUAGAGAAAAGAAUGUUUCUGACAGUUCUAAUUAUAAAGAACUGGUCUUCUUGACUUUAUGUGAUAGUCCUGAGUCUGAAUACUGAUAACAUGACAUACUGAUAAAUGAUAUAACUGAUAACAUGAGUGAUUGUAUCUGACAGUCCUAAAUCUAAUGGAACUAGCUAAGUUCCAUACUGUAUCUGAGUUAAUUAUAUCUGACAGUCUUGAAAUCUGAAGAACUAUCUGAGUUCUAUUACUGAGACUGAUUGAUAGUGUCUGACAGUCCUGAUUCUGUAACAAGAAAUAGUGGGAAGUAUUUAUCUAACCGUCAUGCCCCUGGUACGCCAUUAUGGCUGAGUUGGGGUCCAAUCUGUAACCCCAAUUAGAAAGGUGUCAAUACCGCACCACUGGUAAGGAAAAAUUAUGGGUGACACUCAUCUAAUAGUGUCCCCAAAAGAGAACAGUAGGGCUCUUAUCUGACAGUUCUUAUCCACCUCAUCAACCCUCAUCGGACAGUGUUGAUGUCUCAACCUAUGCUGGCUAUAUAGUUUUGGAACGCAAGGAUAACUUUUAAGAAUCACACCCUCAGUGUGUGUUUCCAUCCUUGGGUUGACUCGGUGCUUAUUCCUACUCCCAUCUGAAUAGGCUCUGAACAUAACAUGGGCUGAGUUAUUGAAUUUCGUUGACUAAUAGAAUACUACUGAGAUUUUUGUAUUACAGACUAAGAUUGUUGAGAUUUCUGAGAUUACUAAGAUUAGAGAGAUUACUGAUGUUACUGCGACCACUGAGGUUACUGAGAUUAAUGAGCUACUGAGAUUACUGAGAUUUCUGACAUUUCUAGAUGAGAUUGGACUGAUAAUUUAUUGAGUUUUCCUGAGUCAUGAGACUGACGAAAUUCUACUGAUCAUGGCUUGACUGAGAUUAUUGUGAAAAUAUGACAUGACUCUAGGCACACAGCUAAAUUGUCAAGUACAAGUACCUCCCAGGACUCGAUAAAAUAAAAUUGACAAGGCUUGACACUUUUGUUCAUAUGACUAAUAUCAAUAAUUCAUAAUUUCAUAGUUGUAAAUUUCAUGAAGCACAUAAUCAUCAUAAUGUUGUACAUGGAUAGUAAUGCGUAUAAACAUGGCAUAAUUUUAUGCUUCUAAUCUUAUGAACAUCUCAUCAAGCAAUCACAAUGCAUAGGUUUAGCAUGGGAAGUAUCUUAAUCAAAUAGGUAUAGCAUCACUUAAGAGACAUUACAUAAUCUUGACACAUGGAAACUAAGUACUUGAUCAUCACUCAUUCAUUAGGGAAUAUUAUCAAGAACCUUGCAUGCACACUUAGGGCAUAGGUGUAUUCAUCAAACUACAUAUGAUAAACCACUCAAUUCAUGAAUUUCAUCUUACAUACUAACGUAAUUUCAAGACAAACACAUAAAACCAUAACUUGGGAAUCAUACAACAACACUAUCAUGAUUUCAAUCAAACCUCAACAUAAACAUUAUAAUUCAUAGUUUAAAAGAGUAUUCUUGAGCAUCAUGGAUGAAAGGAAUCCAUGAAUUAAUACUAAGCAAACCUUAGUUCUUGAUUCUAUGAAGAUUGACGGAGAGAUUCUUGAAUUUGGGUCUUGGAUUUGAAUCCCCAAUUGAAAACCCUAGCUAGUUCUUGAUAUAAUAUUGAGAGAAACAAUAUAUUUUUGUUGAUAUAUGGCUUAAUCACGUGUUAUUGGGUAUAUAUAGGGGUGGAAAAUUGACCCUUUUAAUCCUUGGACGUGUAUUUAAAUUCUGCGAAAUAUCCUAAUUUGGACCCAUGGCACGAUGCGCUGUGUCACUGGAAUUUGAUGAAUGGGAAAUUGCAUGAUGGUGUGACGCAAGGUUUAUCAUGUUGCCACUUUAUUUUCGAGCUGGAAGUUUGGUGCGACGCGGUGGUAUCACGCUGAGACACUAGAAAAAAAAAUUCUAAUUUUGAGCUUUGCCGCGAUGCACCAUAAUCACGGAGGCCCACUAGAUUUUGACGAUUGCCAUUUUGGCCUGCUCCGCGAUGCGUUGAUGGCCAAAGUGAUACACUGUCUCACUACAAAGGCUCUAACUCUCCGCCCGAGUGUCGGAUUCAGGUGAAUUUGAUAUCGAUCGAAAGCUAUUCAAUUUCCCACAUGAUAAAAAGUGAAAAUAUUGAAAAUACCACUUGUAUAAAAGUGAAUUCAUCUUUGAAACAAGUCUUUAAAAUUUUUGGAAUGAUUUUAAGCUAGAUAGAAGUACGGGGUAUUACAAUUUUUUUCUCGCUCCCACCUAUUUUACAUAUGCCUUCGCCAUACAAAAUCUUGGAUGUUCUUGUCUCUUGCUCUGCAGCCUACGUGGGACUAAUCCUAAUUGAUAAUCUGAACUAUUUGUAGAAUAAACUCUCUUCUGUUUAGAUUCACGUCAAGUGGUUAGAACAUAAAUGAUAAAUUUAUUUUGUUGCAAAUACUUGUCAUUUGCAGAUUCGAAAGUAGAUCGAUGGGACAAAACGUAAAAUAGUGGCUUGACAUUGGUGGAGCAUCUACAACCUAGUACAAUAACGGAGUUGGUAAGAAUGAAAUUUACUUUAACAGAGAAUCAUGAAAGUUGUUGGAUCUACAACAAUUAAUAUAAUUACAAUGGAAACUCCUCAUCUACAAUUUUUGGACUACUUUAGGAGUAAUGUCCCUCACUCUUCUACAUUGGUUAGGUAAUUUACACCCCAUUUAUAUUGCAAGGCAUUCAUGGACCUCUCUUGGCAUUACUUAUCACCUAUAUUGCUCGGAAUCUUCAAAAAUAUCAUCAGUUGCAUGUUAGAUCCUUCAAAAAUAUUGCAUUUUUAGAGGAUCCGUACUCUUCAAAAGAAAAACACGAGUCACCAAAGUAUUAAAUGCAUUCAUUAAUAUAUGAAAGCUACAUCCUAAAAAGGUUCAUUUUAUUGUAAUAGAAAAUAGUGCCCUAUCAUCAAUUUUUGAAAGAAUAGGAGACAAAAACAAAAAGUUAAAGAGGAUCCUUUAUUAAUAAAAGUCACAAAUAGGACACAGAAAAAAAUAAAAUUUUUGAUGGUCGAUUUCACCAAUGAUUUGGGUGGAUUUUCUCGCUGUAUUAAAUUGAAAUAACAAGGAUGGUGGAUGAAUUCUCAAAUAAAAGUAAAUGGCUCAAAUAAACUAUUUGAAAUCAAUGACUACUGGUAAAAGGUUGAAAUAUUAGUGAUUGAGAUGAAACAGAACAUACCUGUUUGACAAAUAGUGAAAUUGGAAGAUUAUUGGGACAGCACUGUUGUGCUUUCAAUUUUUAAGAGAUUAAACUGUGCAACUAUUGAGGAACUUGUUCUCAAUUUGUCUGUUGGAAUUGUUCAUAGUUGCUAGAAAGUGAUACUAUUUGUUUCUAUCUUUUUGUAAAAUUUCAUCACAUAUAUAAGGUUGUUGAGGAUGUAGCUUAGGAGAUCCAAUAGAUAAGCCAAAAAAUCCACAAAUAAAUCUAGCGAUUAAGUGAAAGAAGGAAAAGUGUAGAACAAAAUUGAUUGAUAGAAAUGUAAGAUAUCAUACCUGUAAGGAAAUAGAGAAUAUGAAGUUUGAGAGGAAAAUUUCACGGGAUGACAAUUCUUGACAGAGCAAAUUGGUGGAAACUAUUCAAAAAGCAUCGCGGAAGCAGUGAAAAGUCUUUAAAAUACGAUAAAAUUCUUAAAUAUUUUAGAAUUUUGCAAAACCAAAUAAGGAAUAGAUGUAUUUUAGAUUUUAUGACUAUGGAAAAGAAACUUCUUGAGAAGCGUGGAAGGAGAAGGGAUAUGAUGUGCGAAGCCAGAUAAGGGACUCAUGUAAUUUAGAAUUCAUGAGUGUGAAAAUAAAUUGUAAAGGAGUGAUGAAAGGUGAAAAGAUAUGAAUUCUACUAUGGUAGUUUCAAAUAAAGGGGCUUAUGACUUGAGUUCUUAUAUUGAUGAUUUAAGCAUGUUUUGGCGGGGAUUUAUUGGUGCGUGUAGUUUGAAGGAAUAUUGAAACUAAUAGAAUUCUUAAAUAAAUUACAAUGGCAUAAGUUGAUUCGAAUUAGAUGACUAAUUCUAAAAGUCUGAGGGAUUACUGAUUGAGAAGUAACAGGGCUUACCUUGUUGGCCUGAGAAAGAAGAAUGAAGAGUGUUGAGGUAGAACCAUUGUCUUAAGAAAUUGAUGUUGAGUCGUCUAUUGGCAAAGUGUUUGUUAGUUUCAUUUGAAAAUUUUCAGCGCAUCUAUAGGGUUGGGUAAUUUAAUGCAAGGUCAAUCGAUUUGGGGGUAUUUUUUGGAAUUUAACUAAGUUUAAUUACAUUAGAUCAGUUGCGGGUAUACUAGUAAUUUCACUUUAAGUUUUUUGAGUUGGUGAUUUUAAGGUAGUAUUAUCAUAUAUUACCACUCCUUCCAUUUCUUAUUACUUGGUGCUUGUUGACUUGACACAUCCCUAAAGAAAGUUUUAGUUUCAUUUUACCAAAUUAACCUUAUUAAUGAUUUUUUGAAAUUCUAAAUUUGAUUACUACGACUUUGUGUAGUUAUUUCAAUUUCAAUUUACUUGUGAAAAUGAACAAGUAAGAUAAAAUAUUUAUUUUAUGUAUAUGGAUAAUUAAAAUGAAACUAAGGGAGCAUUGUUAAAAUGUAUAGUGUAGCAUUAGUUUUCUAAUGUAGUAAAAUAGUUUUCACUGCUUUACUGUUUUUAGCUAAUCUAGGUGAUUAGUUAGUGAGUGGUUACACAAGUUGUUAGGAGUAUUUAUUAUAAGGUUAUAGAAGAUCAUGUUUGACUUAUGUGAGUCUAUAAAUACCAAGCAUGACAGUCAUAUUAUGAAAUUUUCAGCUUAUCAAUGAAGCUAACUUCUUCUCUUCAACACAACAACCAAAAUACAGUUUUUCCUUCAUCUUAAUCGUAGUCAGUUUCUAUCCCUAUCGACUUGACUCAGAUGAUUUUAAAAAAGGUAUCAGAGCCAUCGAUCUAUGGAUGUUUAGAAGAGACAUUGACAUUUUAGAUCUCUACUGUGAAGAGAUUCCCAAUCUCUAGUAUUAGCAGAAUUUUUUAAGCAGUUCUUAUCUCUGUUCUCAGUUAUUUCCAGAAAUUUAGUGUGUUUAAUUGUUGGAAAAUUCAAUUUUGAUUCCAGUGUAAUUUGAUCUCUACCUCAACAGUUUAUUUAGUCACACAUGGUGCCCAAAAUCGAUCCAAGUGAUACUUUGUUUAUAGGAACAUCAGAUGUGUCGGGAGCUACCUUGAUUCCAAUUAAGGUUGUUGCAUCAGAUAAUUAUGGAGUAUGGAGCCAAUCGAUGAGGAUUGCAUUAAUGGGGAAAAAUAAAUAUAGUUUUUUGACAAGUUCUUGUAGUAGAAAUAUAUAUAGAGAAGAAUUGCAUGACCAAUUGGAAACUUGCAAUGCAAUAGUGUUGUCAUGGUUAAUGAGCUCUGUUAGAUAAGAAUUAUUAAGUGGUAUUGCAUAUGCAAUAAGUUCAUUUGAAGUUUGGGAAGAUCUAAGAGAGAGGUUUAACAAAGUAAAUCACGUGAGGCUUUAUCAGUUACAUAGGGAAAUUAAUUCACUAUCCCAGGGAACUGAUUCAGUAGCAACUUACUUCACAAAAUAAAAGAUCUUAUGGAGUGAAUAUGAUGCAGUAGUUCCUGCACCAUCAUGUUCUUUUCCAAGGUUUAAAUACUAUGCCGAUUACUGGUUUGAAUUGAGAUUAAUAUAGUUUUUAGGAGGCUUAAAUGAUUCCUAUGAUCUGGCUAGAAGACAAAUUUUGUUAAAUGGAGUUACACCUAUGCUUAAUCAGGCCGAAGCUAUGAUUGUAGAAGAUGAAAUUCAGCAUUUGGCUUGUUCAACUACCACAAAUGAAAAGACAGAUCCAAUUACAAUGCAUGUGAGUAGGACUCAAAAAGUAGUUAUGGAUACUAAAAUCACAAAGAGAAGAAAUAUGAGUAUUGCCACUUCACUGGGCAAACUAAAGAAACUUGCUACAAAUUAAUAGGCUAUCAUAAUGAUUGGAAGCAGAAAAAAAGGGGAGGUUACCAUGGUAAUUCAAGAGGAUAUGGAGGAAACAACAAUCAUAUUUAUGGAAGGUCUGGUGGAUAUGGAGGUCCAGGAUAUCAAUUUUUUGGUCAAGAUAGUAAUCAGUUCUCUGCCCAUAAUUUCACUGGACAUCAGUCAAUUGAUGAAGCAGAAUAGUCGACUCCAUUUAGCAGUCAAGGAAACAAAGACAUUCAUAGUGUUAUUUGUCUAAGGGGUAGAGCUUCUCAGAUGAAGAGUACAAGCAGAUUGUGGACCUGUUGAACAAAGAUAAGCACGAUUUCAAACAGGUUAACAUGUCAGGUAAACUACUUUCUUAGUAUGUUUUGUUAUUUCAGUUGAUUAGAUUAUAGAUUUUAGUGCCACACAUUAUGUUGUAGCUCAUAUAUAUGUUUUUUCUCAAUUUCAUAAGAUACAUAGCACUAAUCAGGAUAAAGUAAAUCUUCCUACUGGGGCUAAGGUAAACAUUUCAUAUGUUGGAGAUAAACAAGUCCUUAAAGGUGAAGUUGGGGGGAUGUAUUAUUUGUGUCUAACUUUAAGCUAAACUUGCCGUCAAUAACCAAAAUAACCAAACAACUCUCAUGCUUUAUAUCAUUCUACCCUGAUUUAUGCAUAUUUCAGGACCUUUACAGUGGGAAGGUGAAGAGGAUUGGUAAGGAAAGAGGAUUUCUAUAUAUCCUUAAAUAUGUCGGUGGAGUAGAUGAGAUGCACAAAGAUGGUCAAAAGUUUGUAGCAAAAUUGAAUAUACAAGAUUGUAAUAUGUGGCACAGGAGGCUUGGGUAUCCUUCAAUUCAAGCUCUGAAGUCACUAUACUUGUUGAGACAUAUAGAAGAUAUAAAGUCUUUAAAUAAGGGUCAUGUUUGUCCAUUAGCUAAACAAACUAGACCCAUGUUUCCUAUUAGUAGUUCUAGAUCUGAAAGAUCUUUUGAUGUUGUGCAUAUGGUUGUUCGGGGGUCUUAUUGUGAUACCCCAUACUUUUCCCAGAUUAUUUUAUCUCAUAGUACGUUAAUAGACAACUUCAAAAGUGUAUAAAUCUUGAUACGAGUGGAAUUUUUUAGUUCUAGACCCACCAAAUGGUAGAUAAUUAAAUCAACCUUCAAACGAUACCAAUUUUGCCUCAAUAUGAUACUCGGUUAAGAGGUUAUGGAGAUUUUAGUGAAAGUAGUAGAAUAAUGCAAUAAGCACCGCAUUGCGGUGAAGAACAAAUUCGCAAUUGUCCGAUUUCCAGUGGAGCACAGAGAUUAUCUCGCAUCCCAGAGAAUUUCCAGUUCCCGUUCCUCCUUUUCCAGUAGCUUACCGCGAUUAACAUACAUUGCAUCAAAAUUUCAAAUAGGACAGAUACCACAUUGCGAUGGAGUGCAAAAUGGCACUCAUUCUUUUCAAGUGAUGCAACGCGAUUACGUCUUGUCGCGCUAGAGGCCAAAAUAGCAAUUGUCCCUUUUCCAGUGAGCCAUUGUGAUAGCGGAGCGCGUGGUGGUGUCAAAUUAGGAUUUUUCUAGUUCCAAGUAAUUGUUACAAAGGGCAAUCUAGUCAUUUUCCCAAGCCCCAAAUCAUAAGAAACGAGGAAUUUAACCUAUUCUAAGCAUUAUAUACAUACUUUCCAGAUAAUUACUCACCAAGAAACCGUAGAACAUCAACUCCUAAUCCCCAAGAAAUCAAAAUUCCACCAUUCUUUUUCCAAGAUAACCCAAAAUUCAAUAUUUCCAAUUCAAGAUAUUCAAGAAAUCAUCUUCAAAAGCACAAGUAGGAAUUUAAGUUCAAGCUUCUUUAUCAAUUUCAUAAAUUAAGGUAUUUAGGAUUUUUAACAAGGAUAAUCCUUUCAUCCUUGUGCCCUAAAUUAGUUUUAAAGUUGAUUUUCACAAGGACUUACAUGAAUUACAGUUUAGGGUUUAUACCCAUCUAUCACUAUUUGAAGAUUAUGAGAUUACAAGUUAUUUAGAUGUUGAAUUGCAUAUCUACUUUCGUAUAUUUAAGCGUGUGACUAUAUUUUCCAAAUUUUGAGUUGAAUUAUUAAUAUUUCCAUUAUCAAGCAUGAGCUUUAUUAUGAUUUGACAUGAAUUUGAUGCAUGAGUUAUUAAGCCCUAGUUUAAAUGUUGAUAUUUCAAGAAUGACUAUGUUUUAAGCAUCCCAUGAAUAGUUAUUUUGAGAGUUUUAUAAAGAUUUGACAUUUGAUCCUCAGUUAUGAUAUGGAAUCCACUUUAUAGUUUUAUUAAAGUUUAUAGAAAUCAGAUUUAGCUUUGCCUAUAGUUUGAAUCAAAUAGAUGCAUAAUUAGUUUUCAUUAUAAACUCUUAUGCUAGUUUUAAAAGUGGAUUUCCACAGGAUGAGCACACAGAUUAAAGAGAGUAGUAUUUAACACUGAGUUGGAUAUGUUCUCAUGCCUUAGAACUACGAGCUAAUGUAAGUUCAGACUAUCUGAUUAUUCUCAAUUCUAUAUGGAUAACAGUUACAGAUGUGAUCACUUAGAUUAGGUUAUACUAGUUGGCAAGAGUAUGACACAUCUCCCCAACGUGAGGUUUUCCUAUAAGGAAACUAGAUGUUGGACACUGUGAUAGCUCAUAUAGUGUAUAUCGGUUAGAAGAACCUCCCUACAGCCUAAUAAUAAAGACUUAUAGAACAACUUUUAGAAACUAAGUAUAAAGGCUCACGAUUUUAUUCAAAUAUUGUUUUACAUAUGACAUUAGCUAUGAGAUUUCAGAUUUUAGUUUACAGACACAGAAGUAAGUCCGUUCUAUACUUAGACAGCAUGAUUUAAAAAUAGAAUACCAGUAUAACUUUUAGAAACUAUAUGUUAUGACUCAUUAGAUUUAUGCAAUAUGUUUUUCUAUUUCUGAUUAUGAUUUUCAGUUUUUAGAUAUUCCAACUUAUGUGAGUCAUCUACAUUUAGUAUGCAUUAUUUUACAAACUAUGAUGAUGUUGAGACAUUGUUUUACUUGUGCAUUCACCCCCAUAUACUCAGUACAAUCCAGAAGUACUUAUCCUCAUAUAUGUCUAUGUGCUACAUUGUCUCAUAAUGUAGGUUCAGGUGCUUAAUUUCAGCAGAAUGAGUGAUUUCGAGCAUUUCUAUCUGCAUCCCAAUAGUCGGUGAGUCCUCAUAGUUAAGGGACCUAGUUAUCUAGUUUUUUCAGCUUAUCAGUAUUGAUGAUUCAGUAUUUUCAGAUAGUUUGACUCAGCUGGGCCUUUGUCCCAUUGACUCUCUAGUUAUUACUAGUAGAGGCUUGUUUGACUACUAGAUAUGAUACAGAUUUCUAGUAUUACUUUUCCAGACUUUGAGUCUAACCUUUUCAGCUAUUAUGAUUAGAAAAUUUCAGCUUAUAUCAUACAGAAUCCUGCAUUGAUUGUAUGAUUAUAUUUCUCUAUUACGAGUAUUCAGAUUUAGUAGAAAGCUAACAGAGUUAGCUUGAGGCUACUCACAAACUUGAGCACCGUGUGACGCCUCAUGACCCAUUUUGGGGUGUUACAAACUUGGUAUCAGAGCCUAAGGUUAUAAGAGUCCUAGGGAAUCAAAAAAACCAUGUUACGUAGAGUUUUGAUCAUGGGUGUGAAGUGCGCCACAUUUAUAGGCAAGAGGCUACGCGACAUUUUUAGGAAAUCAUCAUUUUCUUUCAUGAUCUAUUAUGCUUAAAGUAUCUCUAUCUCCUUUUAACUUAUGCUCUUAUGAGACAGUUGAAUAUUCCUUAUUAUCAAGAUAAUACAAGCAGAAAUGAUAACCAACCACUCCAGCUCGCUGACCCUCUAAAUGAGAAUGUAUCUCAUGCUGAAUUUUGGGCUGUCUUUCUGGUGUUAGCCCAAGCUGUGUUCGUUAAUGUUUAGGGCAAUCAUCAGGUAGCAGUCCUACCUCAGUACAAUAUGGAUUUAGUAGUAUCUAGAAUCUGUUACUUUAUGAGAAUGAAUCCGCCUGAGUUCUUUAGGUCAAAAGUAGGUGAGGAACCAUAUCUUUAUUUAGAUGAGAUAAGAAAGAUCACCUAGAUUAUGUAUGUUACUGAGGAAGAAAAUGUGGAGUUGGCAUCCUAUAAACUGAAAGAUGUGCCAUAUGAUUGGAUGGUUAUGUAAAAGAAUGGUAGGGGUAAGAAUGCAGCUCCUAUGAGUUGGCAGGUAUUUCAGGAUGCGUUUCUAGAUAGGUUCUUUCCAAGUGAAAUGAGAGAAGCUAAGGUAGAUAAUUUUGUGAACCUGAGGUAAGGCUUGAUGAUAGUGAAGGAGUACUGUAUAAAGUUCAACCAGCUAUCUAAGUAUGCCCCAUUAUACGAUGGCUGACCCAGAGAGAGUAUGAGUAAGUUUGUUAUUGGAGUAUCUGGUUUAGUAGUCAAAGAGUGUAAGACUGCCAUGCUUAUUAGGGAUAUAGAUCUUGCUAGGUUGAUGAUUCAUACCCAUCAUAUUGAGAUAGAAAAGUUUAAGAGAAAAGGGAGGGAAAAUAAGAAAGCUAGAAUUGGGCAGUUUGAGUAUGGCUAAACAAAGUUUGGAGGGGGAAACCAUUCGUAGUUUUAGAAUCAUUCAUCUAUGCCAGUGCCAUCUUCAGCUAGUGCUUCCUCCCCUAGAGCUAGACAGGAGCAGUAGGGUAAGACUUCUAUGUCUAGAUCUCAGGAUAGUGUGAAUGGAAAACCCAGUUAUCCUCUAUGUGCUAAGUGUGGUAAGAAUCAUCUUGGUGAGUGUCUAUUUUGGCAGAAAGGUUGUUAUGGUUUUGGUAAGUUGGGACAUAGAGUAAAAGAGUGUCCGCAUGCUAAGCAGGGAAAUAGAGAUGCUCAUCCUGAUACUUAGGCUACUAGCACACCAGCUCCUUUAGGUUGCCCAGUCCCACCUCAGAGUACAUCAUCUAAUACCGGUGGCGGUCAGCGCCAGAAUUAGUUUUAUGCUUUACCAUCCCGUUAGGAGUAGGAGGAUUCACUAGAUAUUGUUACGGGUAUGCUUCGUGACUUUUAUCUUGAUGUUUAUGUGUUGCUAGACCCUGGGUCAAGUUUCUCUUAUGUGACCCCAUUAGUUAUAGUGAAUUUUGAAAUAGGUCCUGAAAAUUUUCCUAAGCACUUCUUGGUUUCUACCUCAGUGGGUGAGUCAGUUGUUUCUAAACAGAUCUAUAGAAAGUGUCCUAUCAUUGUCCUUUAUAAAAUAAUGUUAGCAGAUUUAAUAGAGUUAGAUAUGGUUGACUUUGACCUUAUUCUUGGUAUGGAUUGGCUCUAUUCCUAUUAUGCAUCCAUAGAUUGUCGCACUCGAGUGGUGAAGUUUCAAUUUUUAGAUGAGCCAGUCUUUGAGUAGGAAGGUAAUUCAGUGUCUCCCAAAGGGCAUUUCAUAUCCUAUAUUUACAAAAAAAUUGAUCUCAAAAAGGUGUAUCUAUCAUUUAGUUCGAGUCAAAGACACUAAUUCUAAGAAUCCAACAGUUCAGUCAAUUCAUGUAUUCAAUAAGUUUCCUAAAGAUUUUCCCGAUGAUUAGCCAGGGGUACCUCCCGAUAGGGAAAUAGAAUUUGGUAUUUACCUUCUUCCAGAAAAUCAGCCCAUCUCCAUUUCUCCAUAUCAUAUAGCUCCAGCCGAUCUUAAAUAGUUAAAAGAGCAGCUUAAGGACCUCUUACAUAAAGGUUUUAUAAGGCCCAGUGUCUCUUCAUGGGGCUCUCCCGUCUUAUUCAUGUGAAAGAAAGAUGGUUAUUUUCAAAUGUGCAUUGACUAUAAUCAGCUGAAUAAAUUCAUAGUCAAAAACAAGUAUCCUCUUCCUAGGAUUAAUGACUUAUUCGACCAACUCCAAGGUGUCAGUUACUUCUCCAAGAUAGACCUAUCUUCUGCAAUGAAUUAUAAAUUUUUUCAUGUGGAAUGUCUUAUAUUAUAACCCACCAUUGCAUAGAGUAUCGAAUAAUCUUUCCAACUAUAUGUGGAUCAUCCAAAACGGACAUCCGAGCGAUGAGUUAUGAACAUUCUGAUCGAACCGUGAAUAGUAGUGAACAGUAAAAUGUGCAGGAAAAAGUACUGAUGCCUGGCGUAUUUUUGCUCCAACUUUAAAUGAUCAUAACUGCAUGUACAUAAUGAUCUGGGUGAUCUACUAUAAAUCAAUGGAAAGAUCUAUGAGUCCUCUUUCCAAUGAAAUUGGUUUCAUCUAAUUUUUCUAUCGGAGAAAAAAGUUAUGGUCGAUCUACUUCAUCCUAUCAAAAGAGAAUUUUUGGGUCAACUUCAAAUGAUCAUAACUCCUCAUACACAAUGAUAUGGGUGAGAUACUAUAUAUAAACGGAAAAAAUAUGAGAGUCCUCUUUGUAAUAAAAUUGGUUUCAUCCAAUUUGGAUAUCGGAGUAAAAUGUUAUUGUUGAUCUACUUCAAACAAUCAAAACAGUCCACCAAAGGAUAGAUUCGAGAAUUAUUUGAUUUUUAGGGGCGUUUUGGUCACUCCCCCUCCCCCAAAAUCCAUUCAAACCCUAUAUUAAAGCCUAUAAGAAGCAUUAUAUGUUAUAUUUCAUCAAAUUCCCUCAAAAAGAAAACCCUAAGCUCCUACAUCCAAUUUCAAGAACCUCCAAAGUUCACCAUUAAUUCUGCAAAUUUAUUUAAGAUUCCAAGUUCCUAGUUCAAGAACUCCAAGAAUCAUCAUUCAAAGACACGAUUAAUAUCUCAAAAACGAGUAUCGAUCUAAAGUUCAUCAUUCAAGGUAUGUGGGAUUUUUCAACAAGAACUCUCUUUCGUUCUUGUGCCCAAAAGUAAUUUUCUUUACAAAGGCAUGAUUUUUAUUUGACUUUUACGAAUUUGAAACAUGAACCCAUAUCUUAUGAUGAUGAUUAUAAAAUCUUGAUGUUUAUGAUUUUGAAAGAUGAAUUUACAUGUGCAUAGAUAUAAAGCAUGAAUCUUGAAUGAUAUUUAUAAUGAUUUGGAUAUUUGGGUCGUGAAUCCCCAUUGGAAAUUGUGUUUUUUUGAGAAAGUGUGUGUUAUAAGCACGCUGAUGUUGAAUAUUUGAGAUAUUUUGAAUGAUUUGACCUUUUGGUCUUAAUGGAGUUGUUUUGAACUCGAGUGUGAAAGAAAUCCACAACAUGGUUGAUUUUGAUAGAUGGGAAGCAUGAUGGCUCCCGAUGUAUAUUUAUAUAUUACUAAAAUUAUUUUGUUGUGGAUUGUCUUUGAAAUGAUCUGAGCUAAGUCCGGGAGAAAUCUUUAGCACUAAGUGGGAGGUAUAAACCCAUCUUACUUCCCUAGAACUAUGUGCCCCCAUAAGAGUGAGCCUAAGGCUGAUUUAUAUAGUGAUCACUAGUUUGUGUUGAUUUGAUAUCGAUAGUCCUACUCCAAUGGCAAGGAAAGGACGGCUCCCCCUAAUGUGGGUUGUACAUUGGACUCUAUGUAGCUCACAUGGUUUAUGUCGGUUAUAGGAUCUCCCAGCGUUUGUGUGUUUCCUUGUGUCUAUGGUGAAUGGUAAGUGAUUUGAAAUUGGAAUUAUGAAAGUUAUUCGUUCGAAAGAUUUAAAUGAUAUUUAAAUUAUGAGAAUUGAUAUUCUUGAUGAACUGAAAGUGAUUGACAAAUUAUAUGAUGACUCACAUGUGGUAUUGUACUUAUUUUAGCCUCUCAUGAUUAUGAUGAUUUUCUUCAGGCUAUGUGAUUCUUUCAUACAUCCUGCAUAUUUCUUAUAAAUAUUUAUGAAGACGAUGUUUAUACAACUGUAUACACCCCCAUAUAUUCGGUUCCUUUCCCUGGUACUGACCCAUAUCUUAAGAUGAGGGCUGCAUUUUCUUGGAAUGUAGGUUUAGGUGCUCAGUUCUAGGUUCGACAGUAAUUCUUCGGGCACGCUGUUCUAUAUUCUCUAUUGUGGUGAGUCCUCAUAUUUCGAGGAUGUAAUGUCUGAUGUUGGUUUCACAGAAUUAUUUACAUUUGAUAACUGAGUAUAAGUCUGUUGGGCAUGUCUCAAUAGCUCGCUGGUUUUAUUGAUUUUCUUAGAGGCUUGUCAGACUAGUAUAGAUGUUGGGAGUUGACUAAUAAGUCGUAUUUUGUUAUCUUUCUAAAAUUCUUUUAUUCUUGGAUGUUGAUUACUCUGUUGAUAUUUUAGGGUUAUUUGUGGAAACCCCGUUGAUUCGUGUUGAACUGAAUGAAAAUGACUCAAAGGGUUAGCUUGGGGCUACUCAUAGCCUCAAGUACUGUGUGACGCUCCGGGACCUAUUUUUGGGGCGUUACUAACUUGGUAUUAGAGCCUAAGGUUUUAAGGUGUCCUAGGGAGUCUGACAAGCCACGUUAAGUAGAGUCUUGAUCAUCGGUGUGUAGCGCGCCAUAUCUAUAAGCAAGAGGCUAUGAGACAUUUGAGGAAAAAGUGUGAUUUUUUCUUUCAGAAGUGUAUCAUGCUUAAAGUGUCUCUCUCUGUUAUUGAUUCAUGCUCUCUUCUUUCAAAAAUAUGUCUCUACAUCGAGCGAGAAGAAAUAGUCCUGUUACCAUUCUUCUAGAGUCUUAUUGGCUGAUCUGAUUGAGUUAGACAUGGUAGAUUUUGAUGUGAUUCUGGGUAUGGAUUGGUUGUAUUCGUCUUAUGCCUCUAUUGAUUGUCGUACCCGAGUGGUCAAGUUUUAAUUUCCAGGUGCAUCUGUGUUUGAGUUUUCUGGGAAUUUUGUGUCACCCAAGAAUCAUUUUAUCUCUUACCUUAAAGCUAGAAAGCUUAUUUCCAAAGGGUGUAUUUACCAUUUGGUUAGAGUCAAAGACACUAAUUCUGAGACUCCAACUCUCCAUUCUGUUAAUGUCGUUAAUGAGUUUUCUGAUGUUUUCUCAGAUGAUCUCCCAGGGAUACCUCCUGAUAGAGAGAUAGAAUUUGGGAGUGAUCUUCUUCUCGAUACUCAGCCUAUUUCUAUUCCUUCUUACUAUAUGGCCCCUGCAGAACUUAAAGAGUUGAAAGAGAAACUCAAAGAUCUACUAGAUAAGGGUUUUAUAAGGCCCAGUGAUUCUCCUUGGGGUGAUCCUGUGUUGUUUGUGAGAAAGAAAGAUGGCUCUUUGAAUAUGUGCAUUGAUUACCCCCAACUGAAUAAAGUCACCGUAAAAAAUAAGUACCCCCUUACGAGAAUAGAUGAUUUGUUUGACCAAUUGCAAGGUGCAAGUUAUUUCUCAAAGAUAGACCUUAGUUCCGGCUAUCAUCAACUCAAAGUUAGGGUGUGUGGCAUCCCAAAAACCGCUUUUCGAACUCGUUAUGGCCAGUUUGAGUUUCUUGUUAUGUAUUUCAGGUUAACUAAUGCCCCAGCAGCUUUCAUGGACCUCAUGAAUCGAGUGUUUAGACCAUAUCUGGAUAUGUUUGUCAUAGUGUUCAUCGAUGAUAUACUGGUGUACUCCCAUAGUGAGGAUGAAUAUUCUGAUCAUCUUCGAACUGUCUUGCAAAGCCUUAGAGAUCACAAGUUUUUUGCCAAGUUGAGUAAGUGUGAGUUUUGGCUAAGGUCAUUUGCUUUUCUGGGUCAUAUCAUUUCUUUUGAGGGUAUUAGAGCUGAUCCAGAAAAGACCGAAGCUGUUAGAAAUUGGCCUAGACCUAUUUCUCCGACUGAUAUCUGAAGUUUCUUGGGUUUAGCUGGCUAUUACCACUAUUUUGUUGAGGGUUUCUCCUCUAUAGCGUCUCUUAUGACUAAAAAAAAUUCGAGAGUUGGGUUGGGUUGUGUAUUGAUACAGAAGGGUAAGGUGAUAGCUUAUGCUUCUAGAUAGUUGAAACCCCAGAAGAAAAAUUACCCCACACAUGACCUUGAGUUGGCUGCUGUUGUGUUUGCUUUGAAAAUAUAGAGACACUAUUUGUAUGGUGUCCAUGUUGAUGUUUUCACUGAUCAUAAGAGUGCAGUAUGUGUUUACCCAGAUAGAGUUGAAUCUUAGGCAGAGACGAUGGUUAGAAUUAUUAAAGGACUAUGAUAUGAGUGUGUUGUACCAUCCGGGCCAGGACAAUGUUGUGGCGGAUUCCUUAAGUAGAGUGUCCAUGGGUACUGUUCCGCAUGUGGUAGAAGGUAAGAAAGAUUUGGCUAGUGAUGUACAUCGUUUGGCUAGAUUGGGGGUUAGGUUGUUUGACUCUACUAUAGGUAGUAUAGGGGUUCAGAGUAGUUCCAAAUCCUCCUUGGUUUCGAAAGUGAAGGAAAAGUAAUACUUAAAUGCUAGUUUGGUAAGAUUGAAGAAGUCAGUCAAGGACAAAAAAGUAGAGGGUUUCUCCCAAGGGGCAGAUGGUGUGUUAAGAUUGCAGGGUAGAUUGUGUGUCCCGAAUGUUAAUGAUUUGAGACAGAGUAUUAUGGCUGAAGCGCACGGAGUGCGAUAUUCUUUUCAUCCUGGUGCCACCAAGAUGUACCGAGACUUGUGGGAAAUCUAUUGGUGAAGUGGCAUAAAGAAAGAUAUUGCAGCGUUUGUAGCUAAGUGUGCAACAUGCCAACAGGUUAUGGUUGAACACCAAAGACCUAGUGGUAUGAUGCAAAAGUUUAGUAUUCCCACCUAGAAGUAGGAAGAGAUAAAUAUGGACUUCGUGAUUGGUUUACCUCCUUCCCGACGCCAUCAUGAUUCCAUUUGGGUUGUGGUUGAUAGGUUGACUAAGUCUGCUCAUUUCUUUCCUGUUCAUACUUCAUAUACUGCUGAGGAUUACGCUAGAUUGUAUAUCCUAGAGCUAGUCACAUUGUAUGUAGUUCCCUUGUCUAUCAUUUCGGAUAGGGAUACUUAUUUCACUUCGUAAUUUUGGAAAGCUUUUUAGAAGAGUCUUGGUACCCAAGUGCUUUUGACUUUUGCUUUUCAUCCUCAGGCUGAUGGUCAGGCUAAGCGGACCAUCCAGACCUUAGAGGAUAUGUUGAGAGCUUGUACACUUGACUUUUAAGGGAAGUUGGGAUGAUCACUUUACGUUGAUAGAGUUUGCUUACAAUAACAGUUUCCACUCUAGUAUUGGCAUGGCUCCAUUUGAAACCUUAUAUGGGAGGAAGUGUAGAUCACCCAUAGGUUGGUUCUAGGUGGGUGAAGCGGCUGUGAGUGGUCCUUAUUCGGUAUUUGAGGCUAUGAAAAAAGUUAAGUUGAUUAGGGAAAGGUUGAAAACUGUGCAGAGUCGUCAGAAGUCAUAUGCGGAUGUUAGAAGGACAGACCUUGAGUUUGAAGUUGGUGACCUAGUGUAUCUAAAAAUUUCACCCAUGAUGGGGGUGAAGAGAUUCAGAAAGAAGGAGAAGCUUAGUCCCCAUUAUGUUGGUCCUUACAAAAUUCUUAGCCGUGUUGGUAAGGUAUCUUAUGAGGUCGAAUUACCUUCUAGUUGUCCUCUGUUCAUCCAAUUUCCAUGUCUCCAUACUUAGAAAGCAUAUUAGCGAUGCUGUGGUACUGGAUUCCUCUGUGAGUGCUGACAUUCAAGAAAAUCUUUCUUUUGAUGAGAUUCCUGUUGAGAUUCUUGAUUUCAGUGUCCGAAGACUAAGGAACAAAGAANNNNNNNNNNNNNNNNNNNNNNNNNNNNNNNNNNNNNNNNNNNNNNNNNNNNNNNNNNNNNNNNNNNNNNNNNNNNNNNNNNNNNNNNNNNNNNNNNNNNNNNNNNNNNNNNNNNNNNNNNNNNNNNNNNNNNNNNNNNNNNNNNNNNNNNNNNNNNNNNNNGCAGCAGUUCAGCUGUCAUUUAUUAUAUGUUCAGCUGUAGUUUCUUGAAUUUGUGCAUUCUAUGUUGCAUUCUAUCUUCUAGAAUGAAUUAUAAUUCUUUCCAUGUGGAAUGUCUUAGAUUAUGACACAACAUUGCGUAUAGUAUCAAAUAAGCUUUCCAACGAUAUGUGGAUCAUCCAAAACGGACACACGAGCGACGAGUUAUGAACAUUCUGAUCGAACCGUGAAUAGUAGUGAACAGUAAAACGUGCAGGAAAAAGUACCGAAGCCUGGCGUAUUUUUGCUCCAACUUUAAAUGAUCAUAACUCCUUGUCCAUAAUUAUCUGGGUGAUCUACUAUAUAUCAACGGAAAGCUCUGCGAGUCCUCUUUUUAAUGAAAUUGGUUUCAUCCAAUUUGUCUAUUAGAGCAAAACGUUAUGGUCAAUUUACUUCACCCUAUCAAAAGCGAAUUUUUGGGUCAACUUGAAACGAUCAUAACUACUUGUACACAAUGAUUUGGUGAGAUACUAUAGAUCAACGGAAAGAUAUGAGAGUCCUCUUUCUAAUGAAAUUGGUUUUAUCCAAUUUGGAUAUCAGAGUAAAACGUUAUAGUUGAUCUACUUCAGACUAUCAAAAUAGUCCACCAAAGGACAGAUUCAAGAAUUAUUUGAUUUUUAGGGUCGUUUUGGUCAUCUCCCCUCACCCAAAAUCCAUUCAAACCCUACAUUAAAGCCUAUUAGAAGCAUUAUAUGUUAUAUUUCAUCAAAUUCCCUCAAAAAGAAAACCCUAAGCUCCUACAUCCAACUUCAAGAACCUCCAAAGUUCACCAUUANNNNNNNNNNNNNNNNNNNNNNNNNNNNNNNNNNNNNNNNNNNNNNNNNNNNNNNNNNNNNNNNNNNNNNNNNNNNNNNNNNNAUCUCAAAAAUGAGUAUCGAUCUAAAGUUCAUCAUUCAAGGUAUGUGGGAUUUUUCAACAAGAACUCUCUUUCGUUCUCGUGGCCAAAAGUAAUUUUCUUUACAAAGGCAUGAUUUUUAUUUGACUUUUACGAAUUUGAAGCAUGAACCUAUAUCUUAUGAUGAUUAUUAUGAAAUCUUGAUGUUUAUGAUUUUGAAAGAUGAAUUUACAUGUGCGGAGAUAUAAAUCAUAAAUCUUGAACGAUAUUUAUAAUGAUUUAGAUAUUUGGGUCAUGAAUUCCCAUUGGAAAUUGUGUUUUUUGAGAAAGUGUGUGUUAUAAGCACGUUGAUGUUGAAUAUUUGGAUAUUUUGAAUGUUUUGACCUUUUGGUUUUAAUGGAGUUGUUUUGAAAUCGAGUGUGAAAGAAAUCCACAACGUGGUUGAUUUUGAUAGAUGGGAAGCAUGAUGGCUCCCAAUUUAUAUUUAUAUAUUGCUGAAAUUAUUUUGUUGUGGAUUGUCUUUGAAAUGAUCUGAGCUAAGUUCGGGAGAAAUCUUUAGCACCGAGUGGGAGGCAUAAAGCGAACAUACUUCCCUAUAACUACGUGCCCCCGUAGGAGUGAGCCUGAGGCUGAUUUAUAUAGUGAUCACUAGUUUGUGUGGAUUUGAUAUCGAUAGUCCUACUCCGAUGGCAAGGAUAGGACGGCUCUCCCCAACAUGGGUUGUACUUUAGACUCCAUAUAUCUCACAUGGUUUAUGUCAGUUAUAGGAUCUCCCAGCGUGUGUGUGUUUUCUUGUGUCUAUGGUGAAUGGUAAAGUGAUUUGAAAGUGGAAUUGUGAAAGUUAUUCUUUCAAAAGAUUUAAAUAAUAUUUACAUUAUGAGAAUUGAUAUUCUUGAUGAACUGAAAGUGAUUGACAAAUUAUAUGAUGACUCACGUGUGUUAUUGUACUUAUUUCAUCCUUUCUUGAUUGUGAUGAUUUUCUUCGGGCUAUGUGAGUCUUUCAUACAUCCUUCAUAUUUCUUAUAAGUAUUUAUGAUGAUGAUAUUUAUACAACUGCAAACACCCUCAUAUACUCGGUUCUUUUUCCUGGUACUGACCCACAUCUUCGGAUGUGGGCUGCAUUUUCUCGGAAUGUAGGUUCAAGUGCUCAGUUCCAGGUUUGAAAGUGAUUCUUCAGGCUCGUUGUUCUACAUCCUCUGUUGUGGUGAGUCCUCAUGUUCCGAGGACAUGAUGUCUGAUGUUGGUUUAAUGGAAUUGUUUACAGUUGAUAACUAAGUAUGAGUCAGUUGGGGCAUGUCUCAAUGGCUCACUGGUUUUAUUGAUUUUCUUAGAGGCUUGUCAGACUAGUAUAGAUUUUCGGAGUUGACUAAUAAGUCAUAUUUUGUUAUCUUUCUGAAAUUCUUUUAUUCUUGGAUGAUGAUUACUCUGUUGAUAUUUGAGGGUUAUUUAUGAAAACGCCGUUGAUUCGUGUUGAACUGCAUGAAAAUGGCUCAAAGGGUUAGCUUGGGGCUACUCGUAGCCUCAAGCACCGUGUGAUGCUCCGGGACCCAUUUUCAGGGCGUUACAGGUCUGGGUUGCAUUUUGAUGCAGAUAGGUAAGGUUAUAGUCUAUUUCUCCAGACAGCUUAAGCCUCACAAUAAGAACUACCCUACCCAUGAUCUUGAAUUAGCUAUUUUUGUAUCUGUAUUGAAAAUCUGGAGGUACUAACUUUAUGGGGUGCAUUUUGAUGUGUUUACGAACCUCAAAAGCUUGAAAUGUGUGUUUACUCAGAGGGAGUUAAAUCUUCAUCAGAUAAGGUGGUUAGAAUUGUUGAAGGAUUAUGAUAUGAGUGUACUGUAUCAUCCGAGCAAGGCCAAUGUAGUGGCAGGCACCCUUAGUAGAUUAUCUAUGGGAAGUGUUGCUCAUGUGGAUAAUGAUAAGAGAGAGCUAGUUUGAGAAGUUCACUGGUUAGCUAGAUUAGGAAUGAGGUUAGUUGACUCAGCUGAAGGAAAUGUUUGGGUUUAGUGUAGUUUAGAAUAUUCUCUUGUUUCUGAAGUGAAAGAAAAACAGGGCAAGGAUUCUAGUUUGGUCAAACUAAAGGAUUCAGUUAAUGACCAAAGGGUAGAGGUUUUCUCCCAAGGGGGAGAUAGAGUGUUAAAAUACCAGAGUAUAUUAUGUGUGCCAUGUGUUGACGAUUUAAGUCAGCGGAUUAUGGCAGAAGCACAUGGUGCGUGUUAUUCCAUUUAUCUAUAAGCCACCAAGAUGUACCACAAUCUGCGAGAAGCCUAUUGGUGGAGUGGUAUGAAGAAAGAUAUCAUAGAAUUUGUAGUUAAGUAUGUAACUUAUCAACAGGUUAAGGUAGAGCACCAAAGACCUGGUGGCACUUUGUAGGAGUUUGGUAUUCCCACUUGGAAUUGUGAAGAGGUGAAUAUGGACUAUGUGAUUGGAUUACCCUAUUCGCGUUGUUAGCAUGAUUCGAUUUGGUUUAUUAUAGACAGAUUGACCAAAUCAACCCAUUUUUUUCCAUUUCACAUGUACUACAUAGCUAAAUAUAUACUAAACUGUAUGUUAGAGACUUGGUUAGAUUGCAUGGAGUUCCCUUGUCCAUCAUUUCAGAUAGGGGUACUCAGUUUACCUCGCAAUUUUGGAAAGCCUUUCAGAAGUGUCUUGGUAUCCAAGUCUAUCUCAAUUCAGCUUUCCAUAUGAAGAUAGAUGGUCAGGCAGAGAGGACCAUUCAGACUCUAGAGGACAUAUUGAGGGCGUAUGUUCUUGAUUACAAAGACAGUUAGGAUGACCACUUGUUGUUGAUCGAGUUUGCCUACAAUAACAAUUAGCAUUCUAGUAUUCAAAUAGCCCCAUUUGAGGAUUUUUAUAGGAGUAAAUGUAGGUCAACAGUCGGUUGGUUCGAAAUGGGUGAGGCCACUUUGAUUGGGCCAAAUAUGGAGUUUGAAGCCAUGGAGAAAGUUCAAUUGAUUCAAGAGAGAUUGAAAGCAGCUCAGAGUCGACAGAAAUCUUAUGAAGAUGUAAAAAGAAGAUAUAUUGAGUUUGAAGUAGAUGAUCUUGUGUACUUGAAAGUUUCACCAUGAAGGUGGAGAAGAUAUUUGGAAAAAAAGGGAAGCUUAGUCCCUGAUAUAUAGGUCCCUACAGGAUUUUGGGUUGUGUGGGGAAGGUAGCGUUUGAGUUUGAGCUACCUGCAGAAUUGUCAUUAGUUCACCUAGUGUUGCAUGUGUCCUUAUUGAAUAAGUGCAUGGACGAUUCAGUUGUUUUGGCCUCUCUAGAAAGCACAGAUAUUAGGAAUAGCCUUUCAUACGAAGAUGUUCCAGUAGAGAUUCUUGAUCAUCAAACCCAUAGACUAAGGAAAAAAGAAGUUCCCUUGGUAAAAUUUCUGUGGUGAAAUCACUCUGUUGAGGGUGCUACUUCGGAAGCAGAAGCAGACAUGGGUACCAAGUAUCCUCAUCUCUUCUCCACGAACUCAGAUUCAGCCGAAGGUAACAAUCUUUAUUAAUUUAGUUCUUUUCCAGUCUUAGAUUUAGCCAUAUAGUUAUCUUCAUGAAUUCGCAGAAUAGUUCAGUCGCUCAGUAUAAGUGAGAUUCAGUCAUGCAGUUUUGUUUCAGUUGUGCAUUCUAGCAUAUAGCCUUAGUACCUCAGAAUCUUCAGUUUAACUAGUCUCAUUCAAGGACGAAUGUUCCCAAAGUGGAGAUAUUGUGAUACCCCGUACUUUUCUCAGCUCAGUUUAGCUCCUAGUAUGUCAAGAGACAAAUUCAAAAGUGUAUAAUUGUAACACCCCAAAAUCUCAUCCCAAGACGUCACACGGUGCUUAAGGAUACAAGUAGCCCUAAGCUAACCCUUUGAUCCUAUUACUACUUUUAACACUUGCUUUAGGAUAAAUAAGUUAAUCAAUGAUACUUUAUUGGGUCAACUAUAAUCUGAAAUAAUUGGAAAUAAUGUCUAAAUAGCAAAAAUACUAAUAAUCUGGAACACAACUUCAACUGACAGUUUAGUCUGACAAAGCCUCUACUACUCAAACUGGAGAGCCAUUGGGACAGACCUCCAACUUACUUGUAAUGAUCUGAAAGUAAAACUCAAAAAACUAUGAAAACAGGAAAGUUGCAAAUAUAUGUCCUCGAACCAUGAGGACUCACCAACUGUGGAAUGUAGACAAAGGUACUCGAGAAUCAUGGUCACUGCUGAGACUGAGCACCUGAAUCUACAUUAUGAGACAACACAACACACAGACGUAUAUGUGGAUCAGCAAUUUGGGAAUGUACUGAGUAUAUGGGGGUGUAUGCAUUUACAUAAAACAAUAUCAAUACUCUUUAAUAAAAUUAUACAUGUAAAUAGGAAUGAAUCACAUGGCUUGAAUAGGUCUAAAAUAUAAAACUCAUAAAUCAUAAAUAGUGAAACAUGUAACACAAAUCUCAUGAGUCAAUAUACUUAACUUUAAAAUCUAUGCACUCCUCUUAUUGUCAGUACUUGAAGGCUAAAGGAAGCUUUAAACAACACUUUCAAACUCAUGCUUUUAUCUUGUGGAGAGUAAAACUUCUUUAAAACUUAGAGCUUAUAGAACUUUUAGGAGCCUUUCAUACUUGGGAACUCUGGAACUCUUUUAGACUCGGGAGUUUCUUUUAACCGACAUAAACCAUGUGAGCUACAUGGAGUCCAACGUAUUUCCCACAUUGGGGAGAGUUGUUCUACCCUUGCCAUUGGAAUAGAACCUUAAAUUAAGUGAUCGCUCAUCUUAACCCACUUGGGAUAAAUCAAAAAUCUAUGGGGACACGUAGUUCUAGGUCAUGAGACCUUGGAAUCAUACCCAACUCGAUGCUAAAUACUACUCUCAUACUUAAGCUCAGAACUUUUAGGAAAUUCACCUUAAAAUAAUUCAAGGGUCUAUAAUAAAGACCAAAUAUAUAUUCCUCUUUACUUUAAAUUAUAACCAAAUGUGGAUUCCUAUCUUAGCUUACACCCAAGGGGUCAAAUUUUUAACUAAAAUCUGAAAAUAGCUUAGUUAUGGGGUACUUGUGACCCAAACAGUCUUGAGCAAUAAAUCUUAGAAUGGAGGUCUAUUGACCCAAACAGUAAAUCUCAAGUCAACAUCUCAAAAUUCAUUCUUAAGAAUGCAAUUACUCAUAAGGUAUCUUGAAAUCUGUAAGUCUAAUCAAUAAGCAUAGAAACAUAUGCAAAAUCAUGCUAUUUGAAUUUCAAUUUAUGGGAAGUAUCAAAACCUUGCAACUAAUGAUAAUGGGUGAAAAACCUCAACUAAAUUUCAUGUAAAAUCUUAUAAAUUGCAGAAAACUUGUAAUUUAAAUAAGCCUUUGGGAACAAGGGUGAAAGGAUUACCCUUUCUCAAAUCCCACAUACCUUAGAUUUUGACAUUAGAUGAAUAAGCUUGCUUGAGGCUCUUUUUUAAACUCUUGAUGAAGGUUCUUAGAGCUUUUGACUAGGGAACUUUGAAUCUUAAGUCAAUUUGCAGAAAUUAUGGAGGAAUCUUAAAGUUCUUGGAGAAGGAAUUGAGUUUGCUCUAGGGGAGAAAACCAUAGGUCUUGAUGUUUUUGAUUGAUAUGAAGUUAUUUACUUCGUUCUAAGUAUAUCUAAGUGUUAAAAGGGUGGAAAAAGACCAAAAAUUCCUUUUAAAAAUAACUUAAAAAUACUGAACGGGUUCGGCGACGAUUGGUGCAAUGGUCCGUUGCUGGGUCAACGGUCCGUCGGACUGACCGUUGCACCUGGACCAGAAUAGGGGUUCACUGCCUCGUCUGUGAUAGUCUGGGAGAUGGUUCAUUGAUAGAUCGAUGGUACAUCAGACCUCUUUAUCACACCUAGGAAGAAAGUGGACUCACUGCCUCAGCUGCGACGGUCCAUCGGACCUCUUCUUUGCACCUGGGCAGUUCAGACUGCUUUCUGUAAAACAUCCAUAUUUUUCUCUUUCGAUGUUGGACUUUGAUGAAAUGGGUAUCGUUGGAAAUAUAAUUCAAUUUACCACAAGAUAAAAAGUCAGUUUUAGUAAAACUCUCUUUAGUUUAAAAAUUAAUCACUUUGGAAGUCAUUCCUAAAUCUUUUAGAGACGGAAUAAGGCAUUACCUGACAUGUUCUAAAGGCUCAGCCUAUGAGGAAACUUUAUGGGGUCUUACAAUAACUCUUGAUAUGAGUGGCAUUUUCUAGUUCUAGACCCACCAAGUGGUAGAGAAUUGAAUCAUCUUUCCAAUGAUACCAAUUUUGCCUUAAUUUGAUACUCGGUUAAGAAGUUAUGAUGAUUUUAGUGAAAGUAGUAGAACACCGGUAUAAGCAUCACGUCGCGGUGAAGGACAAAUUCGUAUGUCCAAUUUCCAGUGGAGCACCAUGAUUAGUCCACAUAACAGAGUAAUUCCAAUUCCCGUUUGUCCCAUUCUAGUAGCUCACCGGGAUUAGCCUGUAUUGCAUAAAAAUUCUCAAUCAGACAAACACCGCAUUGCGGUGGAGUGCAAAAUGGCACUCGUUAUUUUUCUAGUGACACAACGCGAUUAUGCUGCAUCACGCAAGAGUCCAAAAUUGUAAUUGUCCCUUUUCCAGUGAGCCACCGCAAUAGCGGAGCAUUGUGGUGGUGUGCUAAAUCUGGAUUUUCUAGUUUCGAGUAAUUUUUACAAAGGGCAAUGUAGUUAUUUUUUCAAGCCCCAAAUCAUAAGAAACGGGGAAUUGAACCUAUUCUAAGCAUUAUAUGCAUACUUUUCACAUAAUUACACACCAAGAAAUCCUGGAACAUCAACUCUUAAUCCCUAAGAAAUUAGAAUUCCACCAUUCUUUUUUUCAAAGAUAACCCAAAAUUUAAGAUUUAUAAUUCAAGAAAUCAUCUUUAAAAGAACAAGUAGGAAUUCAAGUUCAAGCUUCUUUAUCAAUUUCAUCAAUUAAGAUAUGUGGGAUUUUCAACAAGGAUAAUCCUUUCAUCCCUAUGCCCAAAAUUAGUUUUAAAGUUGAUUUUCACAAGGACAUAUAUGAAUUUUAGGUUAGGGUUUAUACCCAUCUAUCACUAUUUGAAGAUUAUGAGAUAACAAGUGAUAUAGAUGUUGAAUUGCAUGUAUACUUUCAUAUAUCUAAGCGUGUGACUAUAUUUUCCAAAUUUUAAGUUGAACUAUUAAUAUUUUCAUUAUCCAGUAUGAUCUUUAUGAUGAUUUGAUAUGAAUUUGAUGUAUGGGUUACUAAGCCCUAGUUUAAAUGUUGAUAUUUCAAGAAUGACUAUUUAAGUAUCCCAUGAAUAGUUAUUUUCAGAUUUUUAUAAAGAUUUGACCUUUGAUCUUCAGUUAAUGUAUGAAAUCCACUUUACAGUUUUAUUACAAUUUACAGUAAUUAGAUUUAGCUUUACUUAUAGUUUGAAAUAGAUAGAUACAUAAUUGUUUUUUAUUAUAAACCAUUAUGCUAGUUUUAAAAGUGAAUCUCCACAGGAUGAGCAAACAGAUUAAAGGGAGUAGUAUUUAGAACUGAGUUAGGUAUGUUCUCAUGCCCCAAAACUAUGAGCAACAUAGGUAUAAACUAUCAGAUUAUUUCCAUUUCUAUAUGGGUGACAUUUACAGAUGUGAUCACUUAGAUUAGGUUAUACUCCUUGGCAAGAGUAUGACACCUCUCCCCAACGUGAGUUUUUUCCAUAAGGGAAAUAGACGUUGGACACUAUGAUAGUUCACAUAGUGUAUGUCGGUUAGAAGAACCUCCCUACAGACUAAUAGUAAAUACUUAUAGAACAACUUUUAGAAACAAGUGCAAAGGCUCACAAUUUUAUUCAGAUAUUGCUUUACCUAUGACAUUUGCUAUGAGAUUUCAGAUUUCAGUUUACAGAUACAAAAGUGAAUCCUUUCUACACUUAGACAACAUGAUUUAAAGAAAGAAUGCCAGUAUAGCUUUUAGAAACUACAUGUUAUAACUCACUAGAUUUAUGCAACAUGUUUUAUUAUUCAUGAUUAUGAUUUUCAAUUUUUAAAUAUUCUAGCUUAUGUGAGUCAUCGACAUUUAGUAUGCAUUUUUUUACAAAUUAUGAUGAUGUUGAGACAUUGUUUUACUUGUGCAUUUACCCCAUAUACUUGGUAUAAUCUAGAAGUACUAAUCCACAUAUACGUCUAUGUACUACAUUGUCUCAUAAUGUAGGUUCAAGUACUCAGUUUCAGCAGCGUUAGUGAUUUCAAGCAUCUCAAUCUGCCUCCUAAUAGUUGGUGAGUCCUUAUAGUUAGAGACCCAGUUAUUCAGUUUUUUUCAGCUUAUUAGUAUAGAUAAUUCAGUAUUUUCAGACAGUUUGAUUCAGCUGGGGGUUUGUCCCAGUGACUCUCUAGUUAUUAGUAGUAGAGGCUUGUCAGACUGCUAGAUAUGAUAUAGAUUUCUAGUAUUACUUUUCCAGAUAUUGAGUCUAACCUUUUAAGAUAUUAUGUUUAGAUAAUUUCAGCUUAGAUCAAAUAGAAUUCCACAUUAAUUUUAUGAUUAUAUUUCUCUAUUAUUAGUAUUCAAAUUUAGUAGAAGGAUUAUAUGGUUAGCUUGAGGAUACUCGUAGUCUUGAGUAUUGUGUGACGUCUCUAGACCCAUUUUUGGGGCGUUACACUUAUAAAAUUCCAACUUUUGAUAAGAAGCAUUAUUUAUUGACUAUUGUGGAUGAUUACAACAAGUAUACUUGGAUUCAUUUUUAACAACUAAAAUCUAAAUAUAUUAUGGCUGCUAAGCAUUUCUUGAGUAUGAUUCGUAAUUAGUUUGAUACUAAGAUAAAUGUUAUCAGAUCUAAUAAUGGGAUAGAAUUUCUCAACACUAAGUGUAGAAAGUUAUUUCAGUCUUUGGGCAUAAUACAUAAAAGUAGUUGAACAUAUACACCACAGCAGAAUAGUAUGGUUGAAAGAUAACACAGACAGAUAUUGAAUGUUGCUAGAGCUAUUAGAUUUCAAGCUCAAAUGCCCAUUGUGGGGUCCAAUUGUUAAAGUUGUAGUUUAUAUUAUUAACAGACUACCAUCUUUAUCUAUUGGAUGUAAGAGUCCUUAUGAAAUGUUAUUUUCUAAGGUUCCAUCCUUAUUAAAUUUGACAAUUAUUGGUUGCAAUUGUUAUGCUUCAAUAGUACACAAAAAGCUGACAAGUUUUCAAAAAGAGCAAAGUCAGCAGUAUUGAUAGGGUAUUCUGCUUUUCAAAAAGUUUAUUUGUUGAUGGAAUUGGUCACUAACAAGUAAUUUGUUACUUGAGAUGUUGUGUUCCGAGAGAAUGAGUUUCAGAAAAAACUUCAGAAUCAUCCAAAGACUUUCUUAUGGUUGAUGCAAGUAUCAUAAAUCAUGGAACUCAUAACCUUUAUAUAGCUUGCCCUGAGAUAUUAGAAUCUCAGAUUCAGGCUCCUGAGGUUCCUGAGUCAUUAGAAGAGGAUUUAUAUCAGUCACAUGUUUCAGCAAAUACAUUAAUUGAUGUAUCUUCUAGUUCACCAGAUGCAGGUGCAUUAACAUGCUUGCCACCUAUAACUGAUGCUCAAACAAUAUCAUCUCAAAUAACUAAGCAACCUACUUGGUUGAUGGAUUAUACUUCACCAGGGAAGAAGAAAGGGACCAAAUAUCCUUCAACCAGUUAUUUAUCUUAUGCUAAUACUACUGUUGUUUACCAAUGUCUUGUCUCCAAUAUGUCAAUACUGGUUGUACCCCAAACUUACAGCCAGGCUAUCAAGGAUGAAAAGUGGGUUGAAGCCAUGUAAUUAGAUAUCAAAGAAAUUAAAGAUAAUCGUUCCUGGAGGUAGUUGAUAUGCCUCAAGGUAAAAACAUCAUAGGAUCAAAAUAGGUGUAUAAAGUUAAAUAUAAAGCUAAGGGAGAAGUAGGGAGAUUUAAAUCAAGAUUAGUAGCCAAGGUCUAUAGCCAACGAGGAGGGAUAGACUAUCAUAAUACUUCUUUCUAUUGUGGCUUAGAUGGUUACUAUCAGGUGAAUUAUUGCAUUGGCAGUCUCCAAGAUGUGGUGUAUGUACCAGAUGGAUGUCUACAAUGUCUGUUUUCAAGGUGACCUUGAUGAAGAAGUUUAUAUGGAGAUGCCAAAAUGCUUUAAAGCAGGAAGAGAAAGCAAAUUAUUCAGAUUGAUCAAGUCCCUAUAUGGACUUAAGCAGGCUUUAAGACAGUGGAACAUCAAGCUCACUACAACCUUGAUUAAUGCAGGAUUUACUCAGAGCACAUAUGACUAUUCUUUUUUUACAUUAGAGAAGGAAGAAGGCAUGGUUGUAAUCCUAGUAUAUAUGGAUGAUCUUCUCAUGAAAACAUUACUAUGAUAAAUGAAGAAAAAGAAACCUUGCAUCAGCUGUUUAAUCUCAAAGAUUUGGGAGACCUCAAAUAUAUUUUGGGAAUAAAAGUGUUAAGAACUAUAGCUAGAGUCAUAUUAAAUUAGAUGAAGCAUAUUUUAGAGCCUAUUUCAGAGACUGGACUAGUUGGGGAUAAAGUUGCACCUACCCCAUUAGAAAUUAAUGUCAAGAUGACGUCAGUUGAGUUUGAUAAAGCAACAGGUGCCACAGGUGAUGUUGUUCUAAAGGACACUAUUUCUUAUCAAAGAUUGGUUGGGAAGUUGAUGUAUGCAACCAUAACUAGACCUGGCAUUAGCUAUGAUGUGCAGACCUUAAGUCAGUUUAUGCAACAUUAUAAAAUGUCUUAUUUGAAAGCUGCUAAAAGGGUAAUCAGAUACUUAACAGGAAUAGUAUGUGAUCUAAGGUGUAUUUAUAUGCCUCAGCACCAUAACUUAUCCAUCUUUUAGCUAAGUUUAGAGAAUAAAGUGUCUAGUUUCUUAUGUUUUUACUCUACUUCUUUGUAAUUGAGAUAACCAAUGUGAUUAGUAUGAUUUUAGGUAUUAAUGAAGUAGAUGAAGACAUAAUGGGACUAUGAAAUGUGGAUGGCAUAUGACACAAGAGAGAGUAGUAGUCUGGACCAAAUGUGGCACCUAAAAACUACGUCCAACACUAGUUUAUCAUUUAUAAUUAUUUCAGGGACUUAGAAGGCAAUUAUGAGAGAAAGAUUAUUAAAAGGCUUAAUGCUGAAUUUUUAUUCAUUAUUCAUUAUUCUGUAUUAGUUUUUGAAGAGGAAGAGUGGUGGCCUAGCUUGAGGAGAGAGAGAAAAAAACGUUUUUCUCUUGUUUUCCCUAUUCGCACACUAAGAUCUUCUCCUAGUUUUUGAUAUGAUGAAUAUUUGUAUUGUGAUUUUCAUUUUAUUCAUGAUUAGCUAAUUUUAUUAGUUAGGGUUAUGGAAGCCUUGUAGCAUACAAUCUAUUACUUUGGGUUUUGAAUUCAUUAUGCAUUGAUUUGUUUACAUCAUACUCUCUUCGCUUAUCUUGAAUUCUCGUGGUUGCAAACAUAGAGGAUAUGCCUUAAAAUGCAAUUUGCUCAAAAGAAAGGUUAAUGUUCGGCAACGAGAGUAGUGACAAGAAAAUAGGAUUACCAACUCCUAUUUCAUAUGUUAAUGCCUUAGCAGGAUUAACUACUUGGAGAUUUCGUAUUGUUUUUGGUAAACGCUUUUGAUUCGAGAGAACUAAAGUGAAUUAGUCCUUGAUGGUUGAGAAACAAUAGGAUUAUGUUAUUAAAUACAAUAUGUUUCUCUGUAAGCAUGAUGCAUGUAUGAAUUCGUAAAACCCAUAGUUAGAAAGUAUUGAAAACUACAAGGUGAACAUAACCCUAGUUUGCUAUUUCUCUGAAUUUUAAUACUACUACACGUAUUUCAUCUUGUUAAACCAAAACCAUUAAUUUGUGAACUGAAUCAAAUCCCUCCUAUUUAUUUUAUGAAAACGAAUGAUUAAAAGUCAACUAAUCUGCAUACAACUUAAUUAACACCAUAUUUCCUAGGGGAUUCGACCCCAACCUAGUUGGGUUAUAUAUUUGACAAUGACCAUUUACUCCCUCAUAAGAGAGGUGUAAUUUGGGCGUAUCAAAUUUUGGAGCCGUUGUCGGGGAAUACGGUUGUCGAUUGAGUUUUUGUGUGUUAAUCAAUUGGUAGUCAAGUUUCUUGAUUUUACAUUUAUUUGUUGAUUUUAUUUGUUACAGGCUCAUUGUUGUUUAUUCCAUGAACCAGAAGUUCAAGAGAACCAUUAUUACCCUUCAAUCCUGAACCUCAUCUCAUUGAAAGAAUGGCUAACCAAUAGGAAGUUGAAAGAUUAGCAGCUUUGGCUAAUGCUCAACUAAAUCUACAAAAUAUAGAUAAUCCAGGUCGGGUACCUAAUCUAGAUGAAGAGGACCUGGGAGAUAAUGAUUUAAUUGACCUGGCUAAUAGGAGGCAUGCAGCAGGGGUAGUUGCACCUGUAAAUUGAAAUCAUCCAUUUAGAGGAAAACCAGGCCACCAAGCUGCACAGUUUGAUGUUGACAAUAAUGAGGACAAUUUUGAUGGAAAUAGAUCAAUAGGGGCAAUCAUUCUACCACCAUUAACUCCUGGGGUGAAAUUCAACAUCCCGAGUACUAUGAUCCAUCUACUAGAUUUGAAAGAACUCUUUGGUGAUGAUCCAAAUCUAUAUUUGGUGAAUUUCAUCAGUAGUUGUAAGUCAUUUGAUAAUCCUAGAGUGGGACAAAAUGCUAUUCAUUUAAGAUUGUUCCCACUGUCUCUGUCUGGAGAGGGAACUAUGUGGUUAAAUAAGCUAACUCCUGAUUCUAUCACAAACUGGAGACAAUUGAAAGGAGCUUUCCUAGAAAGGUUUUUUUCGCCCUCCAAAAUAUUACAGUUGAGGGAUGAGAUCAGCAACUUUAGGAAAUUGGCUAAUGAAGCUUUGCAUGAGACUUGGGCCAGGUUUAAAAAGAAGUUGACUCAAUGUCCAAACAGUAAGAUGACUGACGAACACUUGAUGGAAAUAUUGUACAGAGCUUUGAACUCACUUACAAAGCCAAUAGUGGAUAAUGCUGUAUGAGGAGCUUUUUUGGAGCUCACUUUUACUAAGACUGCGAACAUGUUAGAAAGAAUGACUAAGACAAGUAGAGCUUGGCAUACCAGAGAUUCUGUGGUAGCAAGCAAUACUAGGUCUUGUGUAAUAUCAGCAGAGCAGCGUAGGAGAGAAAAGGAGUGUGAUCAGGAUAUGGCUUAUAUAAAAACCCAGAUGGAUUUGCUCACAAAAUAUUUGCUAUUAGGGAAUGUAGAAAAGGUAAAAGUUGUGGGGUCCCAUGGUAAGGAAGCUGAAUCAAACACCAAAGAAGAGGCUAACUACUUGCAUAACUAGGGGGUUUCCAGAACGGUGGUCAAGGAAACCAAGGUUUGAACCAUCAAGGAGAUUGGAAGAAUAAAAGUGACAGAAGUGGACUGUAUGUACCUUCUGGAAGUUGUGAUAAUGCUGCCACCAGUUCAGGCAAAAUGUCCAUAGAGGACAUGAUAGAGAAACUAUUAAAGAGAGUUGAGGCAACCAAUUCUGGGGUGACUACUAUAAGGAGUGACAUAUCUUCCAUGAGUCAACUAGUAAAUUCACGUGCAAUUGCUAUUAAACAACUGGAGUAGCAGAUGAGCCAAUUAUCCAUAGCAUUCAACCAAAUAUAGAAUGGGACUACUGAGUGAUACAAUUCAGAAUUCGAGGACUGAUGGAUCGUGUAUGGCCAUUACCACUAGGAGUGGUAAGAUGUUAUCUAGUCCAAGAUUGGGAGCAUCCUCUCAUACUAAUGCGGUCAAAAUAGAUUGGGAGAUGGUUGAUGAAUAUUCAGUGGUGCCUGUGGAGUUGGGAAGAUAAAAAAAGAGUGCAGAAGUGGAACAACCACCUAAGCCGAAGCAUGUUAGUGAAGCGGAGAAAGACAUAAGAAAGGAGGCAAAAUUCUCCAACUGAAAUCCCAAGGCCACCACCCCCAUUUCCACAAUGAUUAAAGAAGAAAGAAGAUGAUCGGAAGUUUAGCAAAUUCAUGGCUAUGUUAAAGCAGUUGACAGUAAAUGUGCCCUUAGUUGAAGCACUAGAACAGAUGCCCGGAUAUGCUAAGUUUAUGAGAGACCUGUUGAUGAAGAAAAGGAUUGUGAGCUAUGAAAUUGUAGACAAUCUUCAUCAUUAUAGUGCUAUUUCUACAAGAUCUAUUAUCUAGAAGAAAGCUGAUCUGGGAGCAUUUACUGUUCCAUGUAUGAUUGGAUUGCUGAAGUUUGAAAAGGCCCCUUGUGAUCUUGAGGCAAGUAUAAAUCUUAUGCCAUUGAUAGUUUUCAAGAAACUGGGUUUGGGAGAUCCUACGCCCACCAAUAUAUUGCUUCUAAUGGUGGAUAGAUCGGUAAAAAGGCUGAUUGAGAUUUUACAUGAUGUACUUGUAAAAUUUACAGAUUUUAUAUUUCCUACCAACUUUGUAAUUCUUGAUUGCGAAGUGAACUUUGAAGUAACUAUAAUUUUGGGUAGGUCAUUCCUAGCAACUGGGAGAGCGUUAGAUGACAUGGAGCUACAUGAGCUAAAAUUUAGGCUCAACAAGAAAAAAGUUAAUUUUGAAGUAUGUGGGUCUAUGAAACAACAAAAAGAGAUAAGGUUUUCUCUAUUGUUGAUGUAUUCUAUGAAGAUGAGCGAGAUGUACCUGUUAAGGAUAGGUCUGUUGUGAAGACCAUAGCUGGUUUGGUUGAACUUGUAAGCAAGGAUGUGAGUGACAUCAAAGUGGUUGGACUAGGAAUAAAGCAUUGUCUUGAUCCAAAAAAUGAGGUACAAAUGGUAUCAUUGAUGUAUCUUGAUGAAGUUUGAGUAGAUCGAGCCGUGCCGCAAUGUUAAAUCAGGCGCUACAUAGGAGGUAAUCCAUGAUUUUAUUUUCACUUUAUCAUGUUAAACAAAAAUGCAAAAAAAAAAAAAGUCGAGCCACGAUCGAAACUGCGGCGCUUGGUGGGAGGAAACCCAUCCUUAUAAUCAUUUUUGUUGUUUUUGAGUAAGUGUACGUGCAUGAAGUACUACGGAGAAGAUUAGUACCAAAUUUGAUUUGGAAUUGAGCUAUGUCAAUGGUGGUAUGUUUAGGAGUGAUGGGAACAUUACAGGUAAGUUGGAGUGGUCAAAUAUGUAAGGCUCAAGUAUGAUUUGCAUUAGAGUCGUGCCUUAAAAUAUGUUAAUCCGACCCAAAAAGUUUUGCAGUGCGACUUUAUUUCGUGACUUUCAAGGAGGUCAGUGGCAUAGUGUUGGAUUUUAAGUGUACUACUGGGUGUGGCGCUUAAUUUCACUUGAAUAUUGGUAAGGGCAUCAUUUAGCACUUAGCAUAGGUGCAUUGCUUCAUACCAAGAAAAACGAGGGCAUGUGUGCAUCACAUACCUUUAUGUGUGCGACCAACUGUGCGCCACACAUCCUAUCGUACAUGCUCACUAGACCAACUAUGCGAUGCAUAUUGUGCCGCAUACCUUGAUGUGUGUGAUAACUUAUGCAUCGCAUACUUUAACAUGUGCGAUAAGAUAUGCAUCGCACACCUAGCCGCACAUGCCCACUACCUUAAGUCUGUGAUACCUUAUGCGACGCAUACCUUGAUGUCUGCUAUAGGUAGUGCGUCGCCCACUUCUCUGCAUAAGCUCACUUCCCAACUGUGCGACAACAUAUGCGACGUACACUUUGAGAUGUUCAAUAAGAUGUGCAUCGGACACUUAGUCCAAAUAAGCCUAAAAUCCGACUUCCAACUUUAAGUUGGGUCAACCCGACCCAAAUUUUCAUUCUUUAAGUAGACUUCAUACCCUAAAUGCCCAUAUUCAUCCUUAUUUCACCCUUAAGCCAUCUAAUAUUAAGAUCUCACCAUUCUCUUUGUCCUUUACUAAUCUUACAUCUUCGAGGUAAGUUUUACUUUUUUUAAUCCUUAGUUAUUAUGACUCUAUGUUAUAGUUAUUUGAUUUUUUAAGGAUUAUGAAUUAAAUUCUUACCAUGGCUAUGUUGUGAAAGUGAUGGUGUUUUGUAUAUUUUGGUAUGGUUGAAAGUGUAGAGCAUAAUUCUGUUUAAAAAGUGCUUCUUUGGAAUAGAAUUGGGGGAAUUGAAGUGAGUGAAUUGUAUUGCGAAUAAUGUAGGUGCGCUAUACCAAAGUGUAUGUUGGUGAACUCUGAGUACCCGAUAAUAACACUUAAUUGGUUUAUACUAAAAAAAUUAAGUGUGGGGUGGUGAAUUCACCACCUUCAUCUUAAUUGUAGUUAGUUUCAUUAUGUGUGGUUGACGUGGAUGAUAUGAUGAACACAGGAAAAAUGGCUCUAAUAAUGAUCUCAAUGCAGGUGUGAUGACUCCUAAUGUGGAUGAGGAGUACUACUAGCCAGGUUCUUUAUCUUGUUAUUUGCACUGGGGACAGUGCUGAGCUUGAGUGUGGGGUGGCUGGUUACUUUGCUACUUGUUUUGUAAGAAAAUAGUACCUUCUCCUUAGGAUUAUUCUCUGAUAGGAUUAGUUAUUUUGUUUAUUUUGUUUCUUGUUAGAUGUUUAUUCUAUUUAGUCAUAAUUAGGUUCUUUUCUCGAUGAUGGGUGGAUGAUGACCGUCUUAAGAGAAAAUUAGUCAUUUAAUUGCAUGUAAUUGUUCUUCUGGAUCAUAUGACAUUAUAACAUAAGUAUGUGAUAGAUCAUUACAUUUGAAACACCUAGCUCUAGUUGUGACUCUUGUUGUGAUUGUUGGUUUUAUUUGAAUUCAUGUAAUUGUUGGGUCUAGAAUCUAUAAUGCUCUUAAUUGAGUUGACCAUGUUCCAUGAGUGUGUAAGAAUUUGUAUAUUCCUUAUUGCAACUGAUGCUAGAACUUUCCUGGUGUUUGUGCACAGCGAAAUAAAGAUUGUGAGUUUAGGAGAUAAUUUAGGUAUUUCUUUGAUAGCCAUUGUUCAUACCUUCUUUUGACCUACCUUUGUACAUUAUCUUAGCUAGCCCUGUUAAGCCUUUAGCUUGUUCUUUUGUUAGCCUCAUAUGUAGCCUAUUUCGUUUUUUAAUAGACAGUAAUUUGAUCCAAAAGCUCCUAAGCGCUUUAAUGUAAAAUCAAUUUGAGUUAGAAGUUUGACAAUUAGAGGAAAAAGGUGAAAUUGAUGCCCCAAAGUCUAGUUAUUGGCGUGUAAAAUUGAUGUGGUUGGGAGUAGCAAAAAUUGUUGAAAAAAGUUCAAAAUUUUAUCCUGAACAUAUUACAAUGAACCUGUUUUGGCCCUGUUCCUUCUUGGACAUUGUGCACCUCAACUAAGGCAAAUCGCUUAAGUUCAGGGUGGCUAUUAUAGGGGUGCGUAACAUGAAAAGAGUGCAAACAAAAAAAUAUUUGAAAGGGUUGCAUACUCCCACCAUAGUGUUAUUAAUUAAGCUUAAAGAUUUGGGGUGAAAAGUAAAUCUAUGAAGAUAGCAGAAGUGGAAAUUGGUUGGUAGAGAUUGGUCUUAAUUGCAUAAUGUAGUGUAUUAAAGCUCUUAGGGAAGAUAGUCACUAUUUCUGGCCAAAAUAGUUCCUACCCAUCCUUUAGCCUGCAUUACAACCUGUAAAAGACCUAUUUGAUCCUAAUCUUACCAUUCUGAUAUUAGUGGAGUAUUACACUACGGGCAAGCAUAUGGUCAUCAGUUGUAAUUUCAGAAUUCUUUGUGAGAGUGAGCGCAACUUGAUUCUUGUACCCAUUUUGUUAGAAAUUACAUGAUUGUGAGUGAUUAUGGGUAACUUUCUUGUUGUGAGGGCACAUAGUUAAUGAAGUUUGGGUAAUUUAUAUGAUUUCUUUUCUUAAACGGUAUGCAUGAAAUUUCCAACUUAAAGAGUCUAUUCUUGAGGGUAGGUUGUCUCUAGUAAUGAUUCCUGAAUCUACUUCUUGUUAAUAAUUGUUGUGUGAGCCUAUUUAAGCAUUUUGUCUUCCUUUGUGGAUGCUAAGGCUUAUGUAGUAUUCAUAAAUAGAUAUGUUGUUCGAGGAAGAACAAAUAUUUAAGUGUCGGGUGGUGAUCUAGGGUGUAUUUAUACGCCUAAGCACCAUAACUUAUCCAUAUUGUAGCUAAGUUUAGAGAACAAAGUGCCUAGUUUCUUUUGUUUCUACUCUACUUCUUUGUAAUUGAGCUAACAGAUGUCAUUAGCAUGAUUUCAGGUAUUAAUGAAGAUAUAAUGGGACUAUGGAAUGUGGAUGGCAUAUGACACAAGAGAGAGUAGCAGUCUGGACCAAAUAUAGCGCCUAGAAACUAUGUCCAAGACUAGUUUGUCAUUUAUAAUUAAGUCAGGAAUUUAGGAGGAAAUUAUGAGAGAAAAGAUUAUUAAAAGGCUUAAUGCUGAAUUUUUAUUCAUUAUUCAUUAUUCUGUAUUAGUUUUUGAAGAGGGAGAGUGGCGGCCUAGCUUGAGGAGAGAGAUCAAAAAAUAUUUUUUUCUUGUUUUCCCUAUUCGCAUACCAAGAUCUUCUUCUAGUUUUUGGUAUGAUGAAUAUUUCUAUUGUGAUUUUCGUUUUAUUCAUGAGUAGCUAAGUUUAUUAGUUAGGGUUAUAGAAGCCUUGUAGCAUACAAUUUAUUACUUUGGGUUUUGAAUUCAUUAUGCAUUGAUUUGUUUACAUCAUACUCUCUUCGCUUAUCUUGAAUUCUCGUGGUUGCAAACAUAGAGGAUAUGCCUUAAAACACAACUUGUUCGAAAGAAAUGUUGAUGUUCGGAAAAGAGAGUAGUGACAAGAAAAUAGGAUUACCAACCCUUAUUUCAUAUGUUAAUUCCUUAGCAGGAUUAACUACUUGGAGAUUUCAUAUUGUUUUUGGUAAACGCUUUUGAUUCGAGAGAACUAAAGUGAAUUAGUCCUUGAUGGUUGAGAAACACUAGGAUUAUGUUAUUAAAUACAAUACGUUUCUCUGUAAGAACGAUGCAUGUAUGAAUUUGUAAAGCCCAUAGUUAAAAAGUAUUGAAAACUACAAGGUGAACAUAACCAUAGCUUGCUAUUUCUCUGAAUUUUAAUACUACUAAACGUAUUUCAUCUUGUUAAACCAAAACAAUUAAUUUGUGAACUGAAUCAAACCCCCUAUUUAUUUUAUGGAAAUGAACGAUUAAAAGUCAAUUAAUUUGCAUACAACUUAAUUAACAUCAUAUUCCCUGUGGGAUUCGACCCUAACCUAGUUAGUUUAUAUAUUUGAAAACGACUGCUUACUCUCUCAUAAGAGAGGUGUAAUUAUAGCGUAUCAGUAUGCCAGGGCAUUUUGCUUAAAGUUCAGCCUACUGCAAACCUUGUGUGCUAGUGUGACUCAGACUGGGCAGUAUGUCCAAACACACGGAGAUCUGUCAUAGGAUACAUAGUGUAUUUUGGUGAAUCCUUGAUAUCCUAGAAUUCCAAGAAGCAACAUACUGUAUCUAGAAGCUCAGCUAAAGAAGAAUAUAUAAGCAUGGCUUCAGCUCUAGCAGAAGUCACAUGGUUGACAGGAUUUUUUGAAGAAUUGAAUGUGCCCAUAAAUAAGCCUAUCAAACUCUUCACUGAUAGUAAAUCAACAAUCCAACUAGAAGCCAACCCUAUCUUUCAUUAAAGGACAAAACAUAUUGAGAUUAAUUGCCACUUCAUAAGAGACAAGAUCAAGGAAGGGCUUGUGAAGACUAUGUAUGUUCCCACAACUCAUCAAGUUGCAAAUAUACUUACUAAGAGCCUGACUCAAGACGAAUACUUUCAUCUUCUAGGAAAGAUUGGUGUGCUUAACAUUUUACACCCUUCAGCUUGAGGGGGAGUGUUAAAAUGUAAAAUGUAUAGUGUAGCAUUAGUUUUCUAAUGUAGUAAAACAGUCUUCACUACUUUACUGCUUUACUAUUUUUAGCUACUCUAGGUGAUAGUUAGUGAGUAGUUACACAAGCUGUUAGGAGUAGUUAUUAGAAGGUUCUAGAAGAUAAUGUAUGACUCAUGUGAGUCUAUAAAUACUAAGUACGACAGUCACAUUAUGCAAUUUUCAGCUUAUCAAUGAAGCUAACUUCUUCUCUUCAACACAACAACUAAAAUAUAGUUAUUCCUUCUUCUUAAUCGUAGUCAGUUUUUGUCCCUGUCGGGUGGACUCAAAUGAUUUUAACAAGCAUAUUUUAUUAUUUUAUUUAUGCCUGCUAAAUUUCCGAAAACGUGUAAAGUAUAGGCCAUGUGUAUUGUGCUAUAUAUAGAGCGAGAUAAUUUCAAACGUUUCCUUCAUUUCCUCUUCAACAUUUUAUAUCUUUCCAUCUUCUAGUUUCACCUUAUCUUUCCAUAUAUAUAUCACAAAACUCAACAAGAACAAGUGUUUUGGAAAUAUAUUUGGUAUGUAUAUAUAUCUUGUUUCUAUUUCUGUCUAUGCUGCUCGGAUUCUUAAAAAAUUAUCUAUGUUUUAGUAUCUGGAAAGCUCCUGCUUCCAUCUUUGAAGAGUUUCUAGUAACAUAUCGGAGGAUUGAACUACUUUUUAAUUUACAUCUACAUAGCUAGAAAAUGCAAAGGGGAGCCUUAGAUACUAGGAGGUCACAGGUUCAAGCCUUGGAAUCAACCUCUUGCAGAAAUGCAAGGUAAGGCUCUAUACAAUUCACCCUUAUGGUCGCCCUUCUUUGGACCCUAGAGGGAGGAACUUUAGUGCACCGGAUUGUCGUUUCAUACCUACCAGGUACCUUACACGUACUUUUCUCCGUUUUAUCUAAUAUUUGUCAAGUAUCUUGUUAUCUCCACCCUAAUUUGUAGUUUCAUGCUUACAGAUGAAUUUUUAUCUUAAUGGAAAAAAAGAUCGUAGUUUCAUGCUUCCAUUCAAAUUAGAUUUGUUUCCUUUCUUGAAAAGAGAUUAGGAAAAAAAUGGAUUAAAUUUAUUAGGCAAUUAGGUGUAGUUCCGUCAAGUUGGAAAGAUCAAACUUUGGCCUUUUUCUUUUUGAAGGUAACUGAGUAAAAGGGUUAACUUAAAUUUAUUGAACUGUAUGUGUUAAAUUGCCAAAUUUACUUAUGGAUAUAGAUAUUUGUUGUUUCACUAGAUAAUAAACAACUGUUGUUUCAAAUUUACUUAUGAAACAAUGUAGCACAUAGACAUAUAUGUGGAUUAGAACUUUGAGGAUGUACUGAGUAUACGGAGGUGUAUGCAAUAAUAAAAUAAUAUCAUCAAUCUUUACAGAAAUCAUGCAUGCUGAGAUAAAUGACUCAUAUAGCUUGAGCAAAAGCUGAAAUCUAAAUCUCAUAAAUCACGAAUAAGGAAGCAUGCAGUAUAAAUCUCGUCAGUCAUUACACCUUAUUCUAAAAUCUGUAUCCUCUUCUUGUUCUCAAAUCUUGUCAACUGGAUGAAAUCUUAAAAUAAUAACUUUCAGAACAUACACUUUAAUCUUGUGCAAAUAAGGGACUUCUUUUGAAACAAAGGAAUUAUAGCACUUUAGGAAACUUAGGACUUGGGACACACAGACUUGGGAACAUUAAGACUGUAACACUUUUAGAGACUUUGAGACUAAAAAGUUUGGAAAUCUUAAAAUAUUAACUUUCAAAAUAUAUACUAAGACUUUAAAUCUAUAAACUAUUAAAGGAGUAGGGCUCUUCUUUGGGAGGUUCUUCUAACUGACAUAAACCAUAUGAGCUGACAUGGAGUCCAACGUCUUACACACAUUGGGGAGAGCUGUUCUACCCUAGCCAUCGGAAUAGAACCUUAACUGAAGUGAUCACUAUCUCGGCCUCUGGCCAAUAAAUCUCAAUCCUACGGUGGCACAUAGUUCUGGAAAAGUAGGAUGUGUUAAACCCACACUUCCCGUUCGGUGCUAAAUACUACUCCCAUACUUAGGCUUAGAACUUUUAGAAAAUUCACCUUAAAGAAACUCAAGGGUCUAUAAUAAAGACCAAACUCAUAUCUAUAAUCUGUAAUAAACUCUGAAAAAUGGAUUCCAAAACUCAAUUGAGGAUUCGAAGAUCAAAUACUAUUAUAUAACUCAAAAUAUACAAAUCUCAGGGUGCUUAAAGCACAUGUUCUUGAAAUAUCAAUACUCAAUCUUAGGGAUUAAAGCUCAUGCUUCAAACUCAUGUCAAAACAUCUCAAAAUUCAUGCUUGAUAACAUAAACAUUCGUAAAUCAUAUUAAAAUCUGAAAAUUUCAGCAAUGCUCAUGAAAUUAAACAAACUGAUGAAAUGUAUCUUCAACAGCUCUCAAAAACUCAAAAUCUUGUAAAGAGUGAUAAUGGGUAUGAAUCCCAAUUUAGAACUCAUAUAUAAACAUUCAAAACUAUAGAAAAACAUCCAACUCAAUAUGCUUCUUGAAGAUACUUCGACACCAUCAAAAUAAUAAGGUCAAGAAUCUCAAUAUCAUACUUAAACUCAAUUUUGAAAAUCUAAAAAAUUGCAUUACGCACAUAAAUACAUAAAAAUAGUCAUGCCAUUCAAUAUUCAAUCACUUGUAAACUCAUAAUCUUUAAACAAUAUAAAUUGGGUAUAAACCCUAACUUAGCUUUCAUGGAAAUCAUAUUAACAUUCAGAAAUUCAUAACUUAAACAAGUUUUGGGCACAAGGACGAAAGGAUUGUCCUUGUUGAAACCCCACAUACCUUAAUAGUUUGGAUUUGAUGAAUUGAAUGUAAAAGCUUGAACUUUGAAUCCUUUGGAGAAGAUCUUGAUAUCAUUCUUGAAGUUCUUGGAUUAGAAACUCUAAAAUCUUGAUCUUUUUGUUGAACAGAAGAAGAUGGGAUUGAUGAUUUUAAGCCUAAUUAGGGUUGUUCUUGAGGGAAAUUUUGAAAAAUAGGGGCAAAUAAUGCCCCAAUUGAAGCCUUAGAUCGUAUUUUUAUGACCUAGGUUGAGGUGGGAAAAGACCUCAUUGACCCUCAUUAAUUUAAAGAAAAAAAUCGUAACCCGUAUCCCGAUUUUUACCUUUAGCGCAACGCGCUACCAUCAUGGCAGCUUAUUGCCUCACACUAAAAUGGCUAUAACUUUUCGCUCGGGUAUCAGAGUUUUGCAAAAUUGGUAUCGUUGGAAAGCUAAUUUAAUUAUAUACAAUUUAGUGGGUAUUGGGAUGGAAAAUUCUGCAUAUAUAAAAUUAUACACGUUAAAAGUAGAUCCUUGUAAGAUUGAAUGCCAAAUUUUGGUAGAAUCUAAUGUUCUUAGCUCCACUUGGCUCUAAGUGACUUCUAUGAACAUUAUUCACCUAAUAAGGACUUCACAUACUUAGUAUUAAAGUCAUGACACAAGAAUUAAAAUUAUGGAUCAAGAGUACAACAAUUACACCUUCACCGCGAUGCAGUAAAAUUGCAUUAAGUUACUGGAAAAGGACAAGUGCAAAUUUGCAUUUUGGCACGACGUGGCUCUAUCGCAUUGCACCACUAGAAAUUGACAGUUGAGAAUUUGGACCUCUCUGAGAUGUGCUAAUAUCGUAGAGGUCCACUGGAAUGUGACGAUUGCCAUUUUGGCAUCCUCCGCGAUGCGGUGAGUGCCCAGGUGGAACACUGCAUUACUAACAAUGCUCUGACUUCUCUAUCAAGUGUCGAAUUUGGGAAAAUUUGAUAUCGAUGGAAAGUUUAUUCAAUUUCUCACACAAUGGAAGGUCUAAAUCUGGAAAAUUUAGUAUGAAAUAAAGGUUAUUCAUUUUUUAAUCACACUCUUAGCAUUCUAAAAAUGAAUUUUAAGCGAGCAAAAACAUGGGGUAUUACAAGGUGCGUAGCGUACCUGAUUAGCCACCUGGUCUAAUCACAAUUCAACCCUGAUUUCUACAUUACUAUAAAUUAAAAGAGAUGUUUCUCUAUCAAUAGUUUUUGCAAAUCAUUGAAAUCCUUGGUUGUGGCAAAAACUCUGUAAGAUCAGGUUCUAAACUUUUACUACGUUAGUUAAGGGUUCUUGAGUCUUUCUUUGUAAUUGAUUUACUCAACAUAUAAGAGUAAAACUUUAUUUUUUCUAUAGAAUUCUUAGAUAGAGUUACCUAAGGUAUGUCGAUUUGAGUUAAUCAAUUUUGAAGUGUAUUGAGUGUGAAGAGGUAGUUGUAGUAGAUUUAGUACAACUUGAAGAACUUAGAUUUUAGUUCAUUGGAGUUUGUCAUCAAUGAGUUUUUAUUAUAGUUGAGAAUUGUAGGGUGUACCAUCUGACUCAGAAGUAAAAUAAAGAGUAGUGUCAUAAACUGCUGAAUGUGUUUCUAAAGUCUUAGAUUAUGCCUAUGUGAUUUAAAACUAUUUAGAGAUAACAUGUGAUUUAUGAAAUGUUCUCACCUAUGAUUUUAGAAAAAUGCAUAGUUUGUUUUUGGAUUGUUCUGCGUACCAGUAUAUCUGUAUUGACUCCCCUAUAUUUCAGGAUCCUGAGACAUAGUUCUGAGGUCCCGUUAAGCAGUAGAUUGACUUGUUAUAAGUUUGCAGCAGGUGAGCCUCCCUUACUUUGGAGGGCCUGUAUUAGAACUUGUUACUGUUAUUUCAUUUUGAUUGAUGGUCCUACUGUGGGCCUUGUUCCAGAUUUCAAAAAAAAUGUCAUUUUCAAUUGUUAGAGGUUUCGCAGACUAAUGUUAAACAUUGUUAGAGGUUUAUGGUUUCCAUUCCAGAUUAUUCAAUUGAAUUAUGAUAUUGACCAUGAUUCCGUAUUUUUUUUAUAUUUUUUCAUUUUCCUUCAUAUUAUAUGAAAGUGUGUAUGAUUGUCAAAUAGAGAAGGGUGCUUGGGCCUUCAUGGUUUUGGAUACGCAUCACGGCCAGGACCCCGGUUUGGGUCAUGACAAUAGUCCAUUUUGUGUAAUGGGCAAUAUUUGAUGAAAUUCCCAAGUUUCACACACUUGUGCCAGACUUCAACAUUACCUCCCUAACUAGCAUUCAAAACCUCAAAGUCUUAUUCAAGCGAGAAGGACACUGAUGUUUCUUAUUUGGCAAAGAAGAUUGUAAGGGCAGUAGAAAGGUAGGUAAUAUUGAAGUCUACCACAAGUGUGUGAAACUUGGGAAUUUCAUCAAAGAUUGCCCAUUACAAAAAAUUGACUAUUGUCAUGACCCAAACCGGGGUCCUGUCCGUGAUGCGUAUCCCAAACCAUGAAGGCCCAAGCGCCCUUCUCUAUUUGACAAUCAUACACAUUUUCAUAUAAUAUGAAGGAAAAUGCGAAAAUAUAAAACAAUACAGAAUCAUGGUCAAUAUCAUAAUUCAAUUGAAUAAUCAGGAAUGGAAACCAUAAACCUCUAACAAUGUUUAACAUCAGUCUGCGAAAUCUCUAACAACUGAAAAUGACAUUUUUUUGAAAUCUGGAACAAGGCCCAUAGUAGGACCAUCAAUCGAAAUGAAAUAAUAACAAGUUCUAAUACAGGCCUUCCAAAGUAAGGGAGGCUCACCAACUGCAAACUUCUAACAAGUCAAUCUACUGCUUAACGGGACCUCAGAACUGUGUCUCAGGAUCCUGAAAUAUAGGGGAGUCAAUACAGAUAUACUGGUACGCAGAACAAUCCGAAAACAAACUACGCAUUUUUCUAAAAUCAUAGGUGAGAACAUUUCAUAAAUCACAUGUUAUCUCUAAAUAGUUUUAAAUCACAUAGGUAUAAUCUAAGACUUUAGAAACACAUUCAGUAGUUUAUGACACUACUCUUUAUCUUACUUCUGAGUCAGAUGGUACACCCUACAAUUUUGCUACCCCACGGGAUAUAUGGGAUCCAUCCUUGACUCAGUGGCCAAGCCCUCAACCCAAGUUUGCCGAAAGGGUUGGAGUUUCUGCUUAUUCUACUAAGCCCCAGGGUCGUCGCCAGCGUAUAAUUUCCCUUUUGGGUAUCAUAAACCCGUGUCGGCAAAUCACAGUUUUGGGAAAUGAGUCAUUUGACUCGUUCCUUCUUCGGGUAACCACCUAACUCUCUUAAGCCUAGUUUUAGAUUCUUCAGGCCAUAUCUUCUUUGAAACAUCCUUUCUUUCUUAAUAUUUUUCAGGUAUAUCAAAAAUAGGGUAUCGUCAUACCCCAACUUGCAAGUCAUGUCACAACAUAUCUACUUCCCUUAUAUUAUUUCAAAAGAGGUUUAUUGAACACCCAAAAGAUCUACCAUUUGAACAAAAGUUCAUAUUUCAAAACAGUUAAAAAUCAGCCCAUUCCCGAUACUUAUUCUAUAGUGGUCAUCCUUUUCAAUUACUUUAAAACCAUUCUAAAUAAGAAUUAUGAUAAUUAUAAAACAAGUAAAAACACUCUUUCAUUACUUUAUGAAAACAACCAGUACAAUUCAUCUGUAAUAAUCCAUCAACAAACCCAAUCUUUCAACAGUUUGUAAAUUUAAUUCAAAAUAUGUAAAUCCAAUGAAAUUUCUAGUAAAAGAGGAAAUGACAAGUCUCAUGCUCUCAUUAACUUCUCAAUAUUGACAUCACAAGAUCACACAAAAGUAUUUGGAGUUGAAAACACUUCAUCACAAUCUCCACAGUUUCUUUAUAACAAUAUGAAAUCCUUGACGCAUAACCAUCAACAAUCUUGAAACCAAAUUAGUUUGUAGGUAUAUAUAUAUAUAUAUAUACUUUAAAAUUAAUUUAAAAACAGUAAAAUCCAUUCCCAUGAGGUUUAGGAUAGUCCCACGUACCUUAAAUGAGUAGAAUCACAAAGAAAUUUUGAAAAGAUUUGACCUUUAAGCUUGAUUGUCCAAACUCUAGUUGUUUUCUCCUCUUGUGUUCUUGAAAGAUGAAUUAGGGAUCUUAAGAGACAGUAAAACAUUACUAAUAGGCUUAAUUUCAUUUUAAGGAUGAUUAGGGAUGGAAUUUGGGUGAGGGAAUAUAACUAAAGUGCCCCUAGACCCUUUAGGAAUUGAAAUAACGCGUAAAACCACUUUAAAUUCGCGUCAGAUUCCGUGUCGGGGCACAGUCAACGCGACGUAUCAAGAUCGCUUUGGCUUACUGCCUCACAUGAAAAAUGCCAUAAAUUUUCUCUCGAUUAUCGGAUUUAGGAAAAUUGGUAUAGUUAGAAAGAAAAUUCAAUUAUCUAUAAUUUGGUGGGUCUUGAGCUGAAAAAUUCUAUGUGUAUCGAAAGUUGUACACGUUUAAAGUAGACCCCUGUAGAAUCGAAUAUCAAACUUUGGAUGAAUGAAUGACUCUUAGCUCAACUUUGCGCCAAGUGAUUUUUAUGAACACUUCUCACCUCAUAAUCAUUUCCUACACUAGGAGAGGGACCAUGGUACAUGAAUUUAAAUAUAAACCAUGGAAUUAGAGCUUACGCACGUAGGAACGACGGUUCGAUUUCUAGCUCAAAAAAGUGAGGUGUUACAUUAUUUCCCCCUUGGGAUCAUUCGUCCCCAAAUGAUGGGUAGUGACUUUUUGAAGCUCUAAAAGUGUAGAAUAAAUAACGAAACCUCGCAUCAAACAUGUUUCCUUAACAAAAUAUGUAAAGGCAUCAAAUGAGCUUCAUGAUAACCCCUAGCAAAAAGUGAAAGCACGAAACAUGAGAUAAUGAGACUUUACAUAGGGAAGAUCUUGCACAUGAGUUUUAUGAACCAUAAUCACCACAACAUGAGGCAUGAGUUAAUUUGGUGAUAACAGGACUGACUUACAUAGGUACUAAUAGGUCAUGACACUUUAACAUACACUACUACUAGGGUGAAAAUACAGUGCCAACAUUCUUUUACAUAUCAUUAUCCUUAAACAUGACAUACAUAAUAAGAAUUUAUUAAAGAAAACUUAAUACAGUCCUUACCUCAGGCUCGACCACACGACUGAUGUAGAUAGGGGUAUAUACUUAAAUAAACACACUUUAAAGCACUAUGGACUCCUCUCCAUUCCUUGUGCAAAUUCAUAAAUUUGUGAACAACUCAAUCAGAGAGAACCACAUCGGUAGGGUGCUAGACUCUUAGACUUGUAUCACCUCGACAAUGAGGCAUGGACCAAGAAAUUAGAGUAAUGAACGAAUUUGGAUAAAUUUCUUAUGGAAAACUUUAUAGCACAAACUAGAAUAUGAAAGAAUAAGAAACAACUUUUAAAUGCCUGGUAGCCUCCUGAUUAUAAGUGUGGUGCACAACACACCUAUAAGAAAGACUCUACUAAACACAAUUUUGUAAACGCAAUGGUACCAUGAAUCAUACUCUAAUACCAAGUUUGUCAUGACCCAAACCGGGGCCUUGGCCGUGAUGGGCAUCCCAAACCAUGAAGGCCUGAGCAACCUUCUCUAUCUGGUAAUCAUACACACUUUCAUAUAAUAUGUAGGAAAAUAUAGAAAUAUAAAACAAUAUAGAACCAUGGUCAAUAUCAUAAUUCAAUUGAACCAUAAACAGUUAACAACGUCUAACAUCAGUUUGUGAAAUAUCUAACAACUGAAAAUGACAUUUUUCUGAAAUCAAGGACAAGGCCACCAGUAGGACCAUGAAUCAAAAUAAAAUAACAAUAACAAGUUGUAAUAUAGGCUUUCUAAAGUAAGAAAGGCUCACCAAUGGCAAACUUCUAAUAAGUCAAUCUACUACUUAACGGGACCUCAGGAUUGUGUCUCAGGAUCAUGAAAUAUAGGGGGGUCAAUACAGAUGUACUGGUAUGAAAAACAAUUCAAAAACAAAAUAUGUAUUUUUAUAAAAACAUAAGUGAGAGCAUUUCAAAAAUCACAUGUCAUCUUAAAAUAGUUUGAAAUCAAUAUGCAUUUUUAUAAAAAUAUAGGGGAGAGAAUUUUAAAAAUCACAUGUUAUCUUGAAAUAGUUUGAAAUCGCAUGGGCAUAAUCUGAAACUUUAGAAACAAAUUCAGCAGUUCAUGACUCUACUCUUUAUCUUACUUCUGAAUCAGAUGGUACACCCUACAAUUCUGCUACCCCAUGGGCUAUAUGGGAUCCGCCCAUGAAUCGAUGGCCAAGCCCCCAAACUAAGUUUGCCACAAGGUUUGGAAUUUCUACUUAGUCUACUACGCCCCAGGCCCGCCUCCAGCGUACAAUUUUUCUUUUGGGUAUCAUAAACCUGUGUCGGUAAAUCACAGUUUUGGGCAAUGAGUCAUUUGACUCGUGCCUUCUUCGAGUAACCAUCUAACUCUUUUAAUGCCAGUUUUAGAUUCUUUAAACCAUAUCUUCUUUGAAAUAUCCUUUCUUUCUUAAUAUUUUUUAGGCAUAUCAAAAAUAGGGUAUCGUCAUACCCCGAAUUACAAGUCAUGUCACAAUAUAUCUACUGCCCUUAUCUCAUUUUAAAAGAGAUUUAUUGACCACCCAAAAGAUCUACCAUUUGAACAAAAGUUCAUAUUUCAAAACAGUUAAAAAUCAGCCAAUUCUCGAUACUUAUUCUACGGUGGUCAUCCUUUUUAAUUACUUUAAAACCAUUAUAAAUAAGUAUUAUGAUCAUUAUAUAAACAUUAAAAAUGCUCUUUCAUUACUUCAUGAAAACAACCAGUACAAUUCAUUUGUAAUAAUCCAUCAACAGACCUAAGCUUUCAAUAGUUUGUAAAUUCAAUUCACAAUAUGUAAAUCCAAUGAAAUUUUUAUUAAAAGAGUAAAUCACAAGUCUCAUUCUCUCAUUAACUUCUCAAUAUUGACAUCACAAAAUCACACGGAAGUAUUUCGAGUUGAAAACACUUUAUAGCAAUCUCCACAGUUUCCAACAAUAUGAGAUCCUUGACACAUAAGCAUCAACAAUCUCGAAACCAAAUUAGUUUAUAGGUAUAUACAUAUAUACUUUAAAUUAAUUUAAAAAUAGUAAAAUCCAUGCCCAUGAUGUUUAGGAUAGUCCCACGUACCUUAAUUGCGAAGAAUUACGAAGAAAUUUUAAAAAGAUUUGACCUUUCAGCUUGAUUGCCCAAACCCUAGUUAUUUUCUCCUCUUGUGUUCUUGAAAGAUGAAUUAGGGAUCUUAAAGGAUAGUAAAACAUUGCUAAUAGGCUUGAUUUCGUUUUAAGGAUGAUUAGGGACGGAUUUUGGGUGAGAGAAUAUGACUAAAGUUCCCCUAGACCCUUUAGGAAUUGAACUAAUGCGUAAAACUACUUUAAAUUCUCGUCAAAUUUCGUGUCGGGGCGCAGUCAACGUGACACAUCAAGAUUGCAUCAGCUUACUACCUCACAUGGAAAAUACCAAAACCUUUCACUCGGUUAUCAGAUUUAGGAAAAAUUAGUCACUGAGUUCCGCUAUGACUAGGUCCUUGGAAAUUUUGACCAGAUCCUUCUUGAUAUUCCUCUUCUAUAACUGGACUCUGCAGUUGAGAUCCUGACUCACCGCGGCUUUUUUAUCCUCAACUAUGUCAGUUUAUCCUUGACCUUCAGUUUUAGCUAUACCAUCCCUUUGAAUAGGAAUGAGUUCUUUCAUGUCAGAAUCUUUAUCUCCACCAGAAUCCCUUUACUUUCCUGACUCAUGAAAGACUACAUGUACACUUUCUUCCAUACACAGAUUUUCUGUAAAAAAAUUAUUUAUGCUUUGCUUGUUGAAGAGUAUCCUACAAAUGCUGCUUCCUCACUCUUAGAGUAAAAUUUCACAAGCUCAUUCUUUUCAUUAUUUAAAACAAAAUAUUUGCAUCCAAAGGGUCUGAAAUAGUCAAGCUUAGGUUUUUAACUGAACACAAGUUCAUAUGGAGUCUUCUUCAAGAGAGAUCUGAUUAGGCAUCUAUUAGUUACAUAAAAGGCAGUAUAGACAGAUUCAACCCAAAAGGUUUUUGGAAGGCCACUGUUAAUCAACAUAGUUCUGGCAACUUUUAUGAGAGUCUUGUUCUUUCUUUCAACCACUCUGUUUUGCUGAGGAACCCUAGGAGCAUAAAAAUUAUACUUGAUAAUAUUUUUAGCACAAAAUUCUGCAACUUGGGAGUUUUCAAACUCAAAUCCAUGAUCAUAUCUGAAUCUAGCAAUUUUACAAUUUAGCUUUAUCCAAAUUUGCAUGAAAAAGACCACCAGAAUAUCAUAGGUUUGAUCCUUAGUUCUUAAGAACAUUGUCCUAUUUAAUUUGGAAUAUUCAUCCACAAUAACAAACAGAUACCUCUUCCCACCUCAACUUUGGAGUUUAAUAGGUCCACAUAAAUCCAUGUGCAACAACUCAAGGAGUCUAGAGAUGUUGACCCAAUUCUUCUGCUUAAAAGAGGAUCUAUUUUGUUUUCCUUUGUCACAAGCAUCACAAACCUUAUUUUCUAAAAACUGCAGCUUUAGAACACCAUAGACCAGGUUCUUUGAGAUUAAUUUAUUCAGUAAACAGGAACUUAUAUGUCCCAGUAUUUUGUGACACAGAUUAGCAUUUUUACCUUGGACACUCAAGCAGGUCAAUUCACAAUCAACUACAGAGUCUAGAUCAAUCACAUACAUAUUAUUGCGCCUUUUACCUUUGAGAAUGACUUUCCCAGACUUCAAGUUUGACACAGUGCAUCCAUCAGAUAAGAACUUCAUGUUAUUUUCUUUGUCACAGAUUUGAGAUACAAUCAAAAAAUUGUACUUGAGACCAUUCACAUAGUACAUAUCUUCAAUUAUAUGAUUAAGAGACUUUCCAAUCUUCCUAACACUAUGAAUGUAACCCUUUUUUUUAUUUUUAAAUUAGAAACCUCCACUAUGAAGUUCCUUAAGUAACAGAAAAUAGUCAGUCCUUCCAUUCAUAUUCUUAGAGCAUUCACUAUCUAUGAACUAGUUUUGACUGUCUUCCCUUAUACCUACCUGCAUACAGAAUUUAUUUUUUAGAUUUGAACCCAUUUAAUUUUGAGUUCCCAAAAGGAAGAUAAAGAAGUUAUCAAAUCUUUUUUGGUCCAUCUUGACAGUUUUUUCUUCUUCAAGUUUCUCAAGGGGUUUGAUUCUUUGGGAUAAGAUUUCUCCUGCUGGAUGUAUCUUGCAUUGUUCAUUCUAACUCUAAGCCAUUCUUAACAAUCCUUCUUCAAGUGACCAUCCCUUCCACAAUGAGUACAUAGAGGAUUAUUGACUUUAUUUUUAGCAAACGGAACAUACUUUCCUUAAGACUGUAAAGCAUGAGUUUUAUACUGAUAUCCAAGGACUCUAUUAUUAUUGAUUCCUUGAAUAUUUAGAUUGGAAAGGAUUUGUGAAGAUGUGGUCCAUUUUAGGGUGCAGUCAUGAGAUGCCUUUGAGUAUCCUUUAAUUUUUCUUCAAGGUCAAUUUGAAGCAUUUAGGUUUCUUUCAUCCUUUUACCAUCGGACUCAUCUAUUUUUUUCAGUUGAUCUAUUAAACUCUGAUUUUCAAAUUUCAGUUUUGAGGACUGUUCUUCUAUCUUAGGCAACUGGAGAGUUAAGGCAAUUAAUUCAAGCUCUAGAUUUUCUACUUUGUCUUCAAGAAUAUUUUUCUCAACAGUCAGUUCACACAUAGAAUCAAUAAAACAUUUGCAAGCUUUUUUAUCUUCUUAGGAGAAUAAUUAUCUAAGUGUUUCUCUAUGUUAGAAAGAGUUACCUUAGUUUAUUCUUUAUUGUCUAACUUUUCUAUGAGAGCAAACAAAGAAUCAUAGGUGGUUUCACUGUUUUCCACUGCUAACAUAGAGAUAUCUUCAGGCUUUUCAGAAUUGUCAGAUUCACUAAAAGUAUUUCCCGGUAAAGUCUUUUUCACUGCAUAAUUAGCUACAACCUUCUUUCUUGACUUCUCUGGGACUUGAUCCUUCUUCUUUCCUUUGUUGGCAUUUGACUUUAGAUAUUCUUGAUAGUUGUAAACCUCACUUUUUCGAGAUAGAAAUUGAACCAUCGUUCAUGUGCGUAAGCUCUAAUUCCAUGGUUUAUAUUUAAAUUCAUAUGUCAUGCUAGUGUAUGAAGUGAUUAUGAGGUGAGAAAUGUUCAUAAAAUUUACUUGGAGCAAAGAUGAGCUAAGAGUCAUUCAUUUAUUCAAAGUUUGAUAUUCGAUUCUACAAAGGUCUACUUUGAACAUGUAUAACUUUUAAUACAUAUAGAAUUUUCAGCUCAAGACCAACCAAGAUGUAGAUAAUUGAAUUAGCUUUCCAACGAUACUCUCGAAUGUCGAAUUGGAAGAAUAAACCUUCUCCCCUCCCCCUUUGAAAAUUUAACAUCACCUUUGGAAUCAUGAAUUAAAAUAAGAGUUCAAGCGAAAAAAUUUAUGCUGACUGGAUCAAUGAUAUGGAGGAGGAGCUUCAGCAAUAUGAAAAGAGCAAAGUAUGGCACCUAGUCCCCAUACCUAUUGAUAGAACAAUUAUUGGAACAAAAUGGGUGUAUAGAAACAAGCAGGAUGAACAUGGUAGUAUCAAAAGAAAUAAGGCAAGACUUAUUAUUCAAGGUUAUAAUCAGGAGGAAGGAAUUUACUGUAGUGAGACAUUUUCUCCAAUUGCAAAGAUGGAAGCUAUUAGGAUUCUUAUUGCUAUUGUUGCUUAUAUGGAGUUUAAACUCUUCCAAAUGGAUGUCAAAAGUGCCUUUUGGAAUGGAUAUUUGAAGGAAGAGGUUUAUGUCAAAAAAUCUCUGGAUUUUGAAGAUGCAGACUUCCCACAUUAUGUUCUCAAAGUCGAUCAAGCUCUCUAUGGAUUGAAGCAAACACCCAAAGACUACUAUAAGAGUCUUUUAAUGUUUUUUUUAUAGAAAAUGGCUUUAAGAGAGGGAAAGUUGAAAAUACUCUUUUUUUGAAGUCCAGAGGUAGCAACUUGCUGAUUGUACAGAUUUAUGUUGAUAACAUAAUUUUUGGGGUUAUUUCUGAUUCUUUAUGUGAAGAUUUUGCAAAAUUAAUGGAGAGUGGAUUUGAAAUAAGCAUGAUGGGUGAAUUAAGCUUCUUCUAGGCCUACAGAUUAAACAAACCUCUCAAGGAACUAUGAUUUGUCAAGAAAAAUACAUCAAGAAGCCUCUGAAGAAAUAUAAUUUGGAGAUGACAAGCCAAUUGAAAGUCCAAUUAGAACCAAUUCAAAGAUGGAUAAUGAUGUACUUGGUCUCUCAGUAAAUGAGACUAUGUUUAGAGAGAUUAUUAGAUCCUUAUUAUACAUCACUGCAAGAAGACCAUAUAUUGUAUUUAGUGUGAAAAUGUGUGCCAAAUUUUAGGCUUGUCCAAAUAAUUCUCAUUUGAAAGCUGCAAAGAGGAUUUUAAGGUGUCAGAAAGGGAUAAGGGAUUUCGUCCUUUCUAUCCAUCUGAAGACAAUUUCAAUCUAAUAGGUUAUGUUGAUGUUGAUUAUGCUAGAUAAUUGGUGGAUAGAAAAAGCAUCUCAGGAAUGGUUCAUUUUCUUGGUUCUUCUCUAAUUUGUUAGGGUUCUUAGAAAAAAAAUCGAUUGCACUAUCUAUUGUUGAAGCUGAAUAUGUGGUUGCAGCUUCUUGUUGUGCUCAAUUGUUAUGGAUCAAACAAUAACUAAAAUAUUUUGGGUUUAUUUUUGACACUAUCCCUCUGAUGUGUGACAAUACAAGUGCUCUAAACAUGGAAAGACAUCCAGUGCAGCAUAAAAGGACAAAGCAUAUCAAUGUAAGGCAUCAUUUUUUGAGAGAAAAUGUUGAAAAGAGGGUCAUUUGCAUGAAAUUCUAUAAGACUAAAGAUCAGGUAACUGAUAUCUGUACAAAGGCUCUUCACAAAAUCAAUUUGUUAAGAACAGGUUGAGGUUGGGGUUGAUCAAAUAAAUUAACCUACAUAAUGGAUUAGUUUUUCCACUAUCCAUUGGCUAUAGAAUCUAUAUUUAAUGGUCUAAUUCAAUGUAAUGCCAUGAAAUCUAGUUCUCAAUAUGCCACACAGUGCUACGAACUAGAAAUAGUCCUGAGCUAACCCUGGCUGCCUUCUAAUACAUCUGAAUCUCAACAUGGGGGAAAUAUAAGUAUAAAAUCAUGAUAAAAUAUGGAAAACUAUCUGAAUAAUCUGAAUAUAUCUAAAAUUACUAAUCUCAUUAAUCUGAUUAAACAAAUACUAAAAAGUAUGAAUACGACAACUGAGAUCUAAGACUGAAUCUGGUAGACCAACAAGCCUCUACUAACUGAAUGUAGAGAGUCUCUGGGAUAGGCCCAGCUGACUCGAACUAAACUGAAAUAUCUAUUACUAAACUAAGAACAUGAAUAGCUAAGUCCCCAAACUAUCAGGACUCACCAACUGUAGGGAUGUAGAUGAGAUGCUCGGGAAUCACUGUUGCUACUAAGAUUGAGCACCUAAACCUAUAUUAUCAGACAAUAUAGAACAUAGAAGUAUAUGUGGAUCAGUACUUUCAGGAUGUACUGAGUAUUGGGGGUGUAUGCAAUAAGUAAACAAUAUCAUCACAUCUUAUGAAAUCAUGAAUGCUAAAUAUAAAUGACUCGCACAGCUUGAGUAAAUCUGAAAUCUAAAAAUUAUAAAUCAUGAAUAGUAAAGCAAGUACUAUGUGUCUUGUGAGUCAUUACACUUAGUUCUAAAAUCUAUAUUAUGUUCUUGUUCUCAAAUCAUAUUGGCUAAAAGAAGUCUAAAACUUAUUAUGCAUAGUAAACACUUUAUUUCAAGACUUUAAAUAAUUAAAAUUGUUUUAAUAGUGGGGGACAUCUAUUUGGGAGGUUCUUCUAACCGACAUACACCAUGUGAGCAUCCAUGUAGUCCCACAACUAGCUCCCGUAAGGUUAGGGUUGUUCUACACUUGCCAUCGGAAUAGAACAAUCUCAUCUCAGUGAUCACAAUCUCAGUAUCCACGUAAAAGUGGAAAUAAUCUAAAUCCUACUUUGGCACGUAGUUCUGGGGUAUGAAACCAUAGUAACGUACCCAUCUCGGUACUAAAUACUACUCAUAAUCCCAUGCUCAAGAUCUCCAGAAAAUCAACUUUAAAAGUAAUCUAAUGGUUUAUAAUGAAAACCAUCUGUAAAUUUGUAAAGUCUAUUUCAACUCUAUUCUGAAACCAAAAGGUCAAAUCUUUCUCAGUAAUCUGAAAAUAUUCUAAUCAUGGGGUGCUUAUAGCACAAUAAUUCUUUGAAUAACAAUCUUUAAAUAGGGUUUAAUGGCCCAUGUAUUAAUCUCAUGAUAAAACAUCCCAAAAUUCAUGCUUGAUAGCAUAAACAUUCAAAAACCAUCUUAAAAUCUAAAAAUUUCAGCAAUGUGCAUAAAAACAUAAACAUAAUCAUGUAAUUCAAUUUAUAAAUCAUUGAAAAUCUCAUAAUCUCAUGAAUAUCAAUAUGGGGUGUAAACCCAAACUUCAAAUUCAAAGGAAAAUAUAUAAAAAUCAAAUAACUUUCACAAUAAAAUCAAGUUUUGGGCAUAAGGACGAAAGGAUUGUCCUUGUUCAUAACCCUACAUACCUUGGAUGAUGAACUAGAUGAACAAGUUUGCUUUUGAGACUCUAUUUGGGUUCUUGAAGGAGUAUUAUUGAAGCUAUUGACUUGGAAACCUUUAAUCUUAAAGCAAUUUAGAAAAACAAUGGUGGAAUCUUGGAAUUCUUGGGGUUGAGUUUUGAAGCUUAAAGUUUUUAAUUUGAGAGAAAUUGAUGAAAAUAAUCCUAAUGUUGUUAGAAUAGGCUUUGAUCUUAUGUUUGGGAAGAAUAAGAGUGGGGAAAAUUGACUUAAUUACCCCUUUGAACAUGGAUCUUUAAUGACUGAAAUAAAAAUAUGCCCAGCGACGCAUAGGCCGAUACGUCGCGUCGAUGGUACCAACGCGUUGUCAACAUGAUGGAUGAUCCGACAUGUCAAAUUUAUGUCAACUCACUAUUUUCAACAUCCAAACAAGUUUCUAAAGAGGUCAAAAAAAUCCAAAACUCAUUCGAGAACACCCAUUGACCUCCCUGAUCAUGAUUAAACUCAAAAAUUGGCAUUUUAACGUCUCAAGGGUUGAACAUAAAACCAUUGAAAUCUCAAGGCCAAAAAUGUGACUAAGUGCUCACACUUAGCUAGAAUUUUCUAAGUCUGAGAUUUGUUUUAGCAUACAAUAAAAGACUAAAAUAACAAGGAUUUGUGGGGUCUUACAAUAUCUCCCCAUUGAAAACAUUCUUCCUCGAAUGUUGCUAGUUAGACUAAGAAUACUGAAGAAUCUGAAGAUAUAUAAUUGCACGCAUAACUUAAAUGAAUUUCAAAACUAAAUUUAAAUUAUUCUGAGCUUCUGAGUUAACCUGUGAGUGCAUGAAUUUAUAAUAAGGACGGCUAUCUAGCUGAAUCUGUGGUCAGAAAGGAACGGAAUUAGGAAAGAGUAUUACUUUCGGCUACAUAUAAAUUUGCGAAGAAGAGGUAAGGGUACUUGGCUCGCAUAUCUGUUUCUACUUCCCAAGUGUCACCCUCAAUAGACAGGUUCCGCCAAAGGACUCUGAUCAAGAGAACUUCUUUGUUCCUUAGUCUACAGAUCUGGUGAUCUAAAAUAUCAAUUGGAACCUCUUCAUAAGAAAGGUUGUUCUCAAUUUCUGAGCUUUCUAAAGGAAUUACAAUGGUGGAGUCAUUAAUGCACUUCUUAAGCAUAGAGACAUGGAAUACAAGAUGAACGACUGACAAGUCUGUGGGAAACUCAAGCUCAUAAGCUACUUUCCCAAUAUGACUCAAAAUGCUGAAAGGGCCAACAUACCAGGGACAGAGCUUCCCCUUCUUGCCAAAUCUCUUUACCCCUUUCAUGGGUGAAAUCUUCAUAUACACUAAAUCACCAACUUUAAACUCAAGAUCUCUCUUUCUCACAUUUGUAUAUGAUUUAUGACAACUCUGGGCUAUUUUCAAUCUUUCUCUAAUCAACUUGACUUUCUCCUUAGGUUCAAACACUGCAUUAGAUCCAAGUAAAGUGGCCUCACCCACUUCAAACCAACCUAUGGGUGACCUACAUCUCCUCCCAUAGAAAGCCUCAAACGGGGCCAUCUGAAUGCUAGAAUUGUAAUAGUUAUUAUAAGCAAACUCAAUCAAUGGCAAAUGCUUAUCCGAACUACCUUUGAAAUCAAGAUUACAUGCCCUCAACAUAUCGUUUAGAGUUUAGAUGGUCCUCUCUGCUUGACCAUCUGUCUGAGGGUGGAAAGCUGAACUAAGGUGGACUUAGGUACCAAGACCUUUCUGAAAAGCUCUCCAAAACUGGGAAGUGAACUGAGUACCCCUAUCUGAUAUGAUAGACAAGGGAACUCCAUGCAAUCUUACUAACUCUUGGAUAUACAGUUUAGCAUAGUCUUUAUCCGUAUAAGACGUGUGAACUGGCAGAAAAUGUGCUGACUAAGUCAAUCUAUCUACAAUAACCCAAAUCUAAUCAUAAUGACGACGUGAUUGGGGUAAACCAGUCACAAAAUUCAUAUUCACCUCUUCCCACUUUCAAGUUGGGAUACCAAACUCUUGCAACGUACUGCCAGGUCUUUGGUUCUCUACCUUAACCUAAUGACAAGUUGCACACUUUCCUACAAACUCUGCUAUAUCUUUCUUCAUACCACUCCAACCAUGGAUUUCCCGUAAAUUACGGUACAUCUUCGUAGCACCGAGAUGAAUAGAAUAACGUGCGCCAUGCACUUCAGCCAUAAUUCUCUAUCUCAAAUCAUCUAUACCAGGCACACACAAUCUACCCUAGUAUCUCAACAUGCCAUCUCCCCCUUGGAAGAAAACCUCUACCUUUUGGUCUUUAACCGACUCCUUCAGUUUGACCAAACUAACAUCCAUGUCUUGUUUCUCCUUCACUUCUAAAACUAUGGAAGAUUCAGAACUAUUCUAAACCCAAACAACCCCUUCAGCUGAAUCAACCAAUCUAACACCCAAUCUAUCCAGACAAUGAACAUCUCAAGCUAACUCUUUCUUACCAUUAUCCACAUGAGCAAUACUUCCCAUAGACAAACUUUAGAGGCAUCAUAAUACACCACAAAGCCAUCGGUACCAUCAGGUAAUGCUAACAUUGGGGUUGAAGUGAGUCGAGUCUUCAACUCUUGAAAGUUUUUCUCACUGGAAUCUGACCAUAGGAACUUAAAUUUCUUUUGGGUUGAUCUAGACAUAGGAGAUUCAAUAGACGAGAACCUUCAACAAAAUAGUGGUAAUAGCUAGUUAGACCCAAGAAACUCUUAAUAUCUGAUGGAGAGAUAGGUCUAGGAUAAUUUUUUAUGGCUUCUAUCUUUUAGGGAUCCACUCUAAUGCCAUCGACGAAAAUAAUAUGACCGAUAGAGGCUACUGACCUUAGCCAAAAUUCACACUUGCUGAAUUUGGAAAACAAUUAAUGAUCUCUAAGAUUUUGCACUCACUAAGGGAGUAUAUGAGGAUAUCAUCUAUGAAAACUAGGACAAAAAUAUCUAGAUACUGCUUGAACACUUGAUUUAUGAGAUCCAUGAAAGUUGUUGGAGCAUUGGUUAGCCCGAAAGACAUGAAUAGAAACUCAAAGUGACCAUAGCAGGCUCUAAAGGCAGUCUUCAGAAUAUCACAUUCCCUAACUUUAAGAUGAUGAUAGCCGAAUCUAAGGUCUAUCUUUGAGAAAUAACUUGCACCUUGAAAUUGAUCAAACAGGUCAUCAAUUCUAGGAAAAGGAUAUUUGUUCUUGAUUGUGACCUUAUUUAGAUGACAACAGUCAAUGCACAUGCUUAAAGAACCAUUUUUCUUUCACCCAAAGAGGAUGGCAGCACCCCAUAGAGAAAUACAAGGCCUGAUGAAACCUUUAUCUAAAAGAUAUUUGAGUUGCUCCUUCAACUCAUUAAGCUCGAUGGGCGCCAUACAAUAUGGAGGAAUAAAAAUAGGCUGAGUAUCUGGGAAAAGGUCAAUACCAAAUUCUAUCUCUCUAUCGAGAGGUACCCCUGGGAGAUCUUCUGGAAAGAUAUUUGGAAACUCAUUUACUACAUUCACUGACUGAACUGUUAGGGUCUCAGACUUAGUGUCUUUAACUCAAACUAGAUGAUAAAUGAAACCUUUAGAAAUCAACUUUCUGUCCUUAAGAUAAGAUAUGAAAUGAAUCUUGGAAGACACUGAACUACAGAACCACUCAAAGAUUGGCUCAUCUGGAAACUGAAACUUCACCACUUGGGUGCAGCAAUCUAUAGAAGCAUAAUAGGAAUGGAUCCAAUUCAUACUAAGAAUAAGAUCAAAAUCAACCAUAUCUAACUCUAUCAAGUCUUCUAACAUGAAUUUAUGAAGGACAGUGAUAGGACACUUCUUAUAGAUUUGUUUAGUAAUAACUAACUCACCUACUGGGGAGGAAACCAAGAAAGGAUCAAGGAUCUUUUUAGAACUUACCUCAAAAUUCAUAGCAACUAACGGGGUCACAUAAGAGAAAAUCAACCUAUUGUAUAACAAUACAUAAAUAUCAAGAUGAAAGAUACAAAGCAUACCAGUAACAAUAUUAGGUGAAUUUUCCUGCUCCUGGCAUGAGGGUAAAAUAAAAAAUCAAUUCUGGUGCUGACUACCAGCGGUACUAGAUGAUGCACCCUGAGGAGGAAAUGGGAGACCUAAAGGAGCUGGUGCACUAUUAGCCUGAGUCUAGGGACAAACAUCUCUAUUUCCCUGUCUAGCAUACAGGCAAUCUCUAAUACCGUAACCCUCCUGUCCAUAACCAAACAACCUUUUUGACCCCAUAAAUAUUUACCUCUAUGAUUCUUACCAUAUUAGCACAUAGGGGAUAAUUAGGCUUCCCAUUCACACUAUCUUUACAUCUAGACAUAGAAGACUUACCCCAUUAUUCCUGCCUGAUCCGAGGUACAGGAGAACUGGAUGAAGAAGGUACAGGCAUAGAUAACUGAUUCUAAAGCUGCAAAUGGUUUCCUUCUCUCAACCUAUUCUGACUAUAAUCAAACUGCAUUAUUCUAGCCCUCUUAGUUACUAGCACUUUUUUAUUUUUUUUCUCUGCCUCAAUAUACUGAGCAUGCAUCAUCAAUCUAAAAAGGUCUAUGUCUCUAUUAAGAAUAGUAGUCCUACAUUCCUUAACUACCAAUCCAGAAACACCGAUCACAAACUUACUCAUGCAUGAUCUAGGGUCAGCCAUCUGAUCAGGGGCAUACUGUAACACCCUAAUUUUUUUGAAUAGUAAUGCUACACGGUGCUUAUGACCCCGAAGGACCAUAAGCUAACCCAUGAGUAAUAUCUGUACCUGUACACUAUAAUAUAUAUCAUAAUAAUGUAGAAAAUAUAAACAUGUAGACCAUAAGGUUUAAUUGAAUAAAGAAUCUAGUAAAAUAACAUCUAUAAGGGUGAAAGAUACCUAAAACAAAUGAAAACUGAAUCAAAUCUAAACUAAAUAUCAAAGCCUCUAAACACUGUCUAAAUAAGGACUUGAAGGAACAUGACUCCAACUAACUCUGUAAACUGAAAACCAACUGAAAUAAUAAAUGAAUCAAAUCAUAUCAUCCUCGAAUGAAGAGGACUCACUACAGCUCUGUAUACUGGAAUGCAAAUGCUACUGCUGUUCUGGAACUUGUGUCUUUGAACCUAUGGUGUAACAUGAAAAGAAAGCACCAUAGUGCAAAUACGUCAGUACAACUGGAGUACUAAGUAUACAAGUGAGGUAGGCUAAAUGAAAUGGGUUUACAUGCAUGAGCAAUGCUAACUGACCGACUAAUAUGAAUGUGAGAGUGCAAACAUACAUACAUAAUAGUGGAUCUGUACGCUAAUACAUAAUUUAAUGAUUUUUGACAUGACUGGAACUAUAGUUCUGUCAACAUGGGUGACUAUGUAUGAUAGUCUUGGGUCUGAUGGAACUAUAUGAGUUCCAUACUAUAAUUGAAUUUGACUGUAUCUGGCAGUCCUGGUAUACUGAUAUCGGAAGAACUAUCUGAGUUCUUUUACUAAUACUGAGCCUAAAAUUGUGGGAGGUAGUUGUUUAACCGACAUGCCCCAAUAAUGUAUAUAGAUAAGUUGGGGUCUAAUCUCUGCCCCAACUGGAGAGGUGUCAAUACCGUACCACUGGUAAGAAUAGUUGUGAGUGACCCUCAACUGGCAGGUACUCAAAUGAGAAUGGUGGGAAACCUAAAAUAACAGGUUAAGCCACCUCAUCAAUCCUAGUCUGAUAGGUUAAGAUGUCUCAACCUACGCUAGCUACAUAGUUCUGGAACAUAAGGAUGACUACUAAGAAUCACACCCUAAACUAGUAGGUGAGUUCCCAUCCAUGGGUUUGCUCGAUUCUAACUUCUACUCCCAUCUGAAGAGACUGAACAUAAUUUAACUGACUGUACAUGGACUGAGUAACUGACUUUCGUUGACUAAUAGAGUAGCACCACAAUCUGAGAUUUUGUUGAUAUCAUGAGAUUUCAGAGGUUUCCUGAGUCACAUGACUGACUGAAUUCUAUAGAUCAUGGAUUGACUGACAUUAUCAGGGUAACGUGACUUGGAUCUAGGCACACAACUAUAUUUUUUGGGUACGAAUACCCCUAGUACUCAAUGGAAGAAAACUGACACAUAUGACAUGACUUGAUCACAACAUUUGAGUCCAUAAUUCAUAAUAUCGUACAUAAGGGAUUUCAUACUAAGCAUGGUUAUCAACAAUGUAUUGCAUGAAAAGGAUUUCAUGUCACAUGGAAGUGCUUUCACAAACUUAAUAUCAUGUUCAUUGCAUAAUCAUACUAGCAACACAUAUCAAUAGCACGGAAGUUCAUGUGGAAUCAUCUUAAGAGUUGACAUAGCUUGUCAUUUAAAUACUAUGAGGUCAUGGGAACAUGAUUUUUAGCAUUCUAGGCAUUUUAACAAACACCUUGCAUGCACACUUUGGGGCAUAGGUUUUCUCAACAAUUUUAAUCAUCUUAAACCACCAAAAUUCAUGGGUUUUAACUACAAGCAUGCAUACAUCAUGGAAGUCAACUUAAAUUAAUAUCUUGAAGCUUAAAUAAUGAUCAUUAACAUGAACAACAUCGCAUAACAACAAGGAAAUCAAAUUUUCUCAUUUAAAAGCAUGGUUCUUGAACUCUAUGAACAAAAGGGGUCCAUAGAUGAACACUACGCAUACCUAACUCAGGGUUCUUGACGUUUUGAACUUAAAAGGUUUGAAAUCUUUUGAUUCUUGAAGAGGAUUGGAUAUUGUUCUUGGAGAUUGAAUUUAGAGAGAAACCCUAGUUUUUGUUUAUGAAAUAAUAAUGAGAAAAAUGGCUGAAUUUAGACUCAUCUGGGUAUAUAUAUACGAGUGGUAAGUGACCAAAAUACCCCUGUUAAAAUGACCUAGAAAUAAACUGAACGUGGCAUGUGACGGUCCAACAAAUAGUCCAUCAAACACUUGACAGUCCGUCACUUAGCCCGUCAGACAUGGAUCAUAAAUGGGGUUCACUAGAUAAAGAGUCGACGGCCUGGAUGAUGGUCCAUCACAACUUUGAUGGUCUGUCAACUCGUCCGUCAGUCCUUAUCCAGUAUGUGGCUCAACUACCUUGGCUAUGACGGUCAAAGUGGCGGUCCUUCACUUAUGUGGCGGUCCGUCAACUUGGCCGUCAUACCUGGACGUUUCCGACAGUUCCAUGUAAAACGUCCAUAACUCCCUCGUCUGAUGUCGGAUUUGGACAAAAUUUGUACCGUUGGAAAGCUAGCUCAAUUCCCCACAUGAGACAAAGUGAAAAUCUCAAAAAAUACCACGUGUAAAAAAUAUUUCUGCAUUUUAAAGUAAGUCCUAGCAUCCUUGAGAUGAUUUCUAGCUAGGAAAAAAGCACGGGUAUUAUAAUAUCUCCCCUUUGAGAACAUUCAUCCUCAAAUGAAACUAACUGAGAGGGGAAACAAUAAUCUAAACAUGAGUAGCUGGAACAUAAUCUUAUAAUUGACAAACUGAACGCAUUAUACUGAACAUGUAUAUCUGAUGCACAUGUAACUGAUUCAUGAAUGCAUGACUGAUGUUCUCACAAUGAAAAUACAUAUCUGAUGCAUAAUUAUUUACUGGACUGAUACAUGUAUGCAUGACUAUAUAUGAAAUGGUACUUGAUACCAAAUUUGUGAUGGAACAUGAACACGAAAUGAAAUAUAAAGUUGUAUUGAAUGCUGAAUGUGAAACUGAAUAAGCUUAAGGAGGACUACUACCUUGAGCUCGAUCUGGGUUGGCGGAGAAUUGAUUUUGCCAAAGAACUUUGACUAGGGGGACUUCUUUUUUCCUCAGCCGAUGAAUUUGAUAGUCUAAAAUUUCGACUGGAAUCUCUUCAUAAGAGAGGUUGUCCUGAACAUCAAUGUUCUGAAUAGGGGCUACAACUGCUGGGUCACCUAUGUACUUCUUGAGCAAAGAGACAUAGAAGAUCGGAUGAACUGAGGCUAGAUCUGAAGGCAAUUCGAGCUCAUAAGCUACCUUGUCGAAAUGACUGAGAAUCCUGAAGGGACCGACAUAGCAGGGACUAAGUUUCCUUUUCUUGCCGAACCUCUUCACUCCCUUCAUGGGAGAUAUUUUUAGAUAGACAUAGUCAUUGACCUCAAACUUGAGAUCCUUUCUACAAACAUCUGCAUAAGACUUCUAUUGGCUCUAAGCAGCACAAAGUCUCUCUCUGAUCAACUGAACUUUCUCUGAGGUGUUGAAUACCAAGUCAGGAUCGAUGACUGAGGCCUCACUAACUUUGAACCAACCGACUGGAGAUCUACACCUCAUACCAUAGACUGAUUCGAAUAGAGCCAUUUGAAUACUGAAAUAAUAGCUAUUGUUGUAUGCAAACUCAAUCAAGGGUAAGUGGUCAUCCCAACUUCCCUUGAAAUCAAUUGCACACGCCCUUAGAAUAUCUUCAAGAGUCUGAAUGGUCCUCUCUGCUUGGCCAUCUAUCUGAGGAUAAAAUGCUGUACUAAGAUGGACUUGGGUACCAAGACCCUUUUGGAAUGCUUUCUAAAAGUGAGAGCUAAACUGUGUACCUCUGUCUGAGAUGAUAGAUAAUAAAACACGGUGUAAUCUGACCAACUCCCUAAUAUAGAAUUUGGCAUAAUCCUCGAAUAAAUAAGACGUACGAACUAGAAGAAAAUGAGCUGACUUGGUCAUUUACAAUAACCCAAACUGAAUCAUGCUGAUGAUGAGUUUGAGGCAAACCCAUCACGAAAUCCAUAUUCACUUCUUCCAACUUCCAAGUAGGAAUGGUGAAAUCCUGUAUGGACCCACUAAGUUUAUGAUGCUCUAUCUUAACCUGCUGAUAUGUAGAGCACUUAGCCACAAACUCUACAACAUCUAUUUUCAUCCUACUCCACUAAUAGAUCUCCCGCAAGUCACGGUACAUCUUAGUGGCCCCUUCAUGAAUAGAGUAUCGCACACCAUGCGCCUCUACAAGAAUUUGUUGUAUCAAGUCAUCUACACUUGGAACACACAGACGACCCUGACAACGAAGAACACCAUCUCCCCCUUGGGAGAAAGCCUCUACUUUCUGAUUUUGAACUGACUCUUUUAACUUGACAACGAUGGGAUCCCUUUCUUGCUUUUCUUUCAACUUGGAAUCUAGAGAUGACUCUAAACUACUCUGAACAUAUAUACCACCCUCUGAAGAGUCAACUAAGCGAACGCCUAGUCUGGCAAGUUGAUGGAUUUCCAGGGCUAUUUUUUUCUUGCUAUCCUCAAUGUGAGUAACACUACCCAUAGAGAGUCUACUAAGAGUAUCGACCACAAUGUUGGCCUUGCUUGGAUGAUAAAGAACACUCAUGUCAUAAUCUUUCAAAAGAUCUAACCAUCUUCUCUGAUGAAGAUUAAGAUCUUUCUGAAAAAAGACAUACUGGAGACUCUUAUGAUCUGUGAAGAAAUCUACAUGAACUCCAUAUAGAUAAUGUCUUCAAAUCUUUAAGGCAAAUACUAUGGCUGCUAACUCAAGAUCAAAAGUAGGAUAAUUCUUCUCACGGAGCUUUAGCUGUCCGAAGAUGUAGGCUAUGACCUUACCAUGCUGCAUUAGGACACAAACUAAACCCACUCUAGACGCAUCAUAAUAGACUACCAAACUAUCUGAACUAUCUGGAAGAUUUAGAACAGGAGCUGAGGUGAGUCGAGUCUUUAACUCUUGAAAACUCUUCUCGUAAGAAUCUGACCACUGAAACUUAACCUUUUUCUAAGUCAAUCUGGACAUAGGAGAUGCAAUAGAAGAAAAUCCCUUGACAAAGUAUUUGUAAUAGCCAUCCAAACCCAGGAAACUCUUGAUAUUUGAUGGAGAGACCGGGCGAGGAUAGUUUCUUACCGCUUUGGUUUUUUGAGGAUCUACUAUAAUGCCAUCACCAAAAAUAAUAUGGCCAAGGAAUACUACUGAUCUUAGCCAAAAUUCGCACUUACUAAACUUGGGAAACAACUGAUGAUCUCUAAGAGUCUAAAGAACAACUCUAAGAUGGUCUGAAU